This 61743-nucleotide long non-coding RNA is filed under the name Coffea arabica (coffee). RNAcentral describes it as "long non-coding RNA (CARA_LNC000827)". Lineage: Eukaryota; Viridiplantae; Streptophyta; Magnoliopsida; Gentianales; Rubiaceae. The record is from RNAcentral.
UUUUUUUUUUUUUUUUUUUUGGCAAAACGAGAUUAUGAGAAUUGAAGAGCUAAAUAUAUUCACUUUGAGCCAUUGAGGAUCAAUCACAAAGCGUUUGGUAGUGGAAUGGAGAAAGUGAGGCAACCUGAGAGUUAAUAAUAGACGCUUGAAAUAAGUAAGGAUGGAUGGGAUCGUUGCACAUUUUUCAAGACCAAAAGAUGAACAGGAUAAGAGCAUUUUAUAGACGCCUUUGAUAUUUUGUCAUGUAGCUAGUAUUGACGCUUUGAUAUUACUUACAAUCAUCAAGGGGAUUAUAUGAAGUGAAACGCCAACACGCAUAGGGUUUUAAGGUAUUUUACCCUUAAAUUUUGGUUUUAUAUCACGUUAAACUACUUUUAUUCAGAAUUACUAAUUAGGUAGGAGUGAAGUAUCUCCAUCUCCAACUCUCUCAUAUUCUAUUGCAAGGUAUGCGUAUUUUUUCUCGUACAAUUUCUUGAACAUUUGAAUUUAGGUUUGUUUGCACACUUCAUUUUUUUUGCGAAAAUUUAUUUUUCUUGUAAUAUAAAUAUAUUUUUUAAUUAUUUUUUUAUAUUUCAACCAUCUUUAACAUACAUAUGUUUGGAUAGCAAAUUUUUCCAAAACAAUUUUUCGCUUGCAUCAUAAACACAUUUCCCAAUCCAUAUUUUUAUAUUUCCAAUUACUUUUUUAUCUCACAUACAUCACAUCAUAAAAAAUACUACAGUAAUUAUUUUAAAUAAUUAUUUGGAAUAAUUCUCUAUCCAAACAAUUAAUUCUCUAUCCACUUUUUCUAACCACUUUUUUUUGGAUAAAAAUUUCAAAUAAUCUUCUAUUCAAAGACACUUAAUCCUCAAAAUUUAGUGUACAAAUUGAUCCAUGAAGUUAAAAAAAAGCUUUUUAAAAUUUUUCUAAAUGCUCUAAUACACAAAAGUUUUUUCACAAUUUUUUUAAAAAAUACACCUUCCAAAUUACCCCAAAUUUUGGGUCAAGUUUGCGUCUCAUCCAACACAAGAUUCGUGUGCGGAAAACUGGAAAGUAAACAACGUACGUCUUAGAAAAUCAAUCACGAGAUUCGCAUGUAUAAAAAGUAAACAAGGCAGGUUUUGGAAAAUUGAUCAAAAGAUGCAUUUGGUGGUGGGUUACAGCAGGACAACUUCUCAUUAAUAGCAACAAAAUUACUGGAGAGUGAAAGUGGAUGCUGAAUUAGUGUACCUGUGUCUACUGUCUCCUAUGUAAAACCGCACGUUUGAGAUAAUCAACAGUAUUGUUGCCAUGUUUGGAUUGUCAUUUUCUGUCAGAAAAUUGCAUCGUUUUUCAUGAUUACAUUUUUCUAUUAUUUUUUUCUCACAUACAUCAAAUCGCUACAGUAACUUUUGCAUGAAAAAUCGUGAAAAAUACAAUUCAAACAGGGUUGUGCAAUGCAUUUUCUGAUGUGCAUAGCAGGAGAUGGAGAGAAUUCAAGGCUAUUUAUUCAUUAUAGUAAUUUUUAUUAAUUUAAAUGGUGUUUGGAUUAACAUUUUUUAUAUUUUUCGUGAAUAUAAAUUUUAAUUAUCUAUUUAAUUCAAAUAUAUCAAAUCGAUUUUAUAGUAAAUUUUUCUAUAAAAUCUCUAAAAAAAAAAUAGCAUGGCCUAAAAAAAAUGUAAUAUUAGCAUUGAACAUGUGUCGUGUUCGGUGCCACGGCCUUUUCCUUUUUCCUUUUCUUACCGGAGUAAGAAAUUGUUUAAUUAAAUCUAAUCCUAAAGCUAACUACCUAAUGAUUAAUGUCAUGUUGUGGGCCUGGCUUUACGGGUCAAAGAUUGGAAUCCACUUAAGAAAUCACGUGAGCUAUGACGACUACACUUCGGCACACAACUCGAGGAAUGGGCGAUGUUGACAGAUGCAGUUUGUCUUUGUCCUCCCCCGUCUCUCUCUCUCUCUCUCUCCAUACUUUUUAUUUUAUUACUUUUCCGCAGCGGCAGUACUAGUGCGGGCCUGCCCGCGGCCACACACGCUCCUCAGAGAGGACCACAAAAACGAUACUAUAACAGACGGGACAAGAUUCCGCCUUCGUCUGAGUGCUGACAAACAGCCUUUUUCACAUAAAUCUUUUCUGAUUCUGUGAUAGUGAUUAUUAAUUAACGAGCAAGCAGACUACAGUAGAUGACGACGGCCAAAGCAAAAACUCGAUGCGACGGUUCCUUCCUUCUCCGCUUGGUUUCUUCCUUCUCUGCUUGGUUUGGAAGCUUUUACUACUACAUUUAUUUAUUGAAGUCCUCCCAAAGAGCAAUCCACUUCGUUGACGUUAGUUCUGACAUUGGCAGGAAUCGAAGUUUAGACAGGUCUACAUCUGCUGGCAAAGUACACCUGUUUUUUCUCUCGUCUUUUUCCGUUUGAAGGAUGUAACUACAGGUUCUAGGUGUUAAGAAGCAUUUCUGAAGAUGUUCGUUUUCUUUAAGAAAAAUGAAAAUUAUAAUUAAACUUCCAUUUUAUCUUCUCUCUAUUUUCCGAAAUAGGUUCUUUGUAAGUAGCACUUUUUUAUUAUAAACUAGAAAACCAUGCAUGCAAAUUACGGCUUUCAUUCGGCGCCGCCAUUUUAUCAUGAUACACUCAACAGACUCAUCACACAAGUCAAGCGGCCAAAUAAGCAUCUAAUUGUACAUACUUUUUUUUACACCCAAUAUUCGUUUAGUUCACACAUAAAGGCUCUACUAAUAACAUAUUUUUUCUCUAUUAUGUUUAUUGUGUCAUCAUCAUUCUUCUAUACAAGUUAUCUAAUGACAAAAAGGCUCUUGACUUUUUUUUGACAAUGUAAAUUAGAUAAAAGUACCUUUAUUCUUCAUUACAUUACAUUGCAGUCACUCUCGUUUUAUCCACUUAUAAUUAAAGUGAAAUAUAAAAUAAAUAUGAUAUUUUGCAUCGACAGGCAAAUCAAAAGGAUAGCCAAUAACAAUUUCUUACUCUAUCCAUCACACUUUGACAGUGUUGAUUUUUAUUUUUUUUUUACACAGUUAAAGAAAAAUUAGUUGACUUUAUUUGCAAGAGCAAAUCUAGCUUAUUAUUUUUCUAAAAUAUCCUUACAUUAACACUAAUUAUUUCAAACACUAAAAUUUAUAAUAUGACUAAUCACUACACCUUUAUAUUAAUUAUAACAAUAACCCUGAUGGAAAGUUGUACCAUUCAAGGUGUUAAUCAAAUCAAUAAUUGAAUAAGAUAGAUUAUAUUCACUAAUAAUAAAUUACUUAAAUAAAGACAUUUUAGAGAAGUUAAAAGUUAACUAUACUUUUCAAUUAAAAAGUAGCCUAUAAUUGGGACGAUGGAGUAAUCUAAUUCCGGAUCUUCUCUUCUACUUUCGAGAAAAAUAAAAUAAAAUAACUACUGAGCAUGCCCUCUUAAAAUCAAUGAUAGCCAUUGAUCCUUAGCAUCCAAGGAUAUGUUUGGAUUGUAUUUUUCUGGAUUUUUUGUUAAAAAAUUACUGUAACAAUUUGAUAAAUGUGAGAUAAAAAAGAUGAUUAAAAAAUAUGUUUGCGAAAAACAUAAUAAUUUUUUCUUUUUUUUUUUGGAAAUCUACAGUCCAAGCAAAAUAUAAAAUAAUGAUCGGUCAACUUUGAGUUCUUUCCUAUUUAAAGACAUCUAGAGAUUGGCAAUAGAAAUUGUCCCUACGAAGUUUCUCGGACUUGGGAUACCAACCAUGCAGAUCGAGAUGGUUGUAGCUAAUAAAUGCAAGAGCUACAAGAAGAUCAUCGAUGAUUAAAAGCCUAUUGUUGGAAAUAACGAAGAAGUCCUAUUUAAAGACAUCUAGAGAUUGGCAAUAGAAUAAAUGCAAUAAAUGCAAGAACACAUCUAGAGAUUGGCAAUCGAAUAAAUGCAAUAAAUGCAAGAGCUAUAAGAAGAUCAUCGAAUGAUUAAAAGCCUAUUGUUGGUGAUGCGACCGCCAAGAACGCAGUCCAAGCUGAGCCGCAGCGAUCCGAGCUGGGGGGACCUGGAUGCGAAGGAAAGAACGAUCUGCGCGGGUUCACCUGAGAAGGGAGAAUACCAGAGGGACUCCAGUCCCCGGAAUAACUCUGACGGUCAAGUCAGCCGUGUUUAUGAGUAAGACAGCAGUAGAGGGUACUGUGAAUGGCAUACCUUCAGUCAUCGGGUAAUGACGUAUUUAUAGGCUUGACCAAGUGGUGGUUUCCAUGUAGGAGUUGGAGUCCCAUUAGGGUUCGGAGUCCUUCUAGGAUUUCGUAUGACAACCCCUAAAGAUUCGGAGGCGGCAGCCCAUCAGGCCCACUUCAUGGAGAAGGAGAGGCGGCGGCCACGACCGAGCUGACCUCCCUCCAUUCCGAGCUGUUUCGCCCGAGCCGCCGUAUCACAGCAUCCGAGCUGACACGUGGCUACUGGGAAAUUUGCCCCACUACAGUUGGAAAUAACGAAGAAGUAAAAUUUUAGAAUAUUGGUUGAUCAGAGUUUCUAUUAAAUAACCAAUUAAGAAAAACCUUUGCCUAAUACCAAAAUGACGAUGACCAUUGCUUCCACAGCAUUUGAUAUCUAGAGCAAAUUGCACUUGUAGUAGUGGCGGUGACAAUGGUAUUGCCGUUGAUUCAUAUUCCACAAAACCGUUAUUGAUACACGAUUAACGUAGUAGAAUACUUUGUCCUCCAAUUUUUAACUACUGAUUUUUUUUUUGGUUGUCUAGCUGACUUCUCUGUCGGUGGCGGCUGUUUUGGUAUUUAAAGCCUAAGCAGGGCAAUAUUCAUCCUCUCCGCUCUCUGGUACAGCGAUUCUAGAAGCCCGGGAACCACCGGUGUCAUUCAAAUCGUCGAGCAAAAAUGAGUCCGGAGCUAUGUCCUGAAGGGGCCUAAAUCCCCGGAUACUUUUACACUAGAGGGAGAGAAGGAGAGGAAACUAAGUGAGAGGCUUCUCCAGAAUCCUAGGAUCAAUAUAGGUAUCUUUAUUUUAUUCUUAUCACGUGCCAUCUCCUCGCUGUAGGUGCUUGCAUGAUGAUUUGGUCUUGAAUUGGCCCGUUUGUCAAAUAAGUUUUUUGAGUGUUUGUCUAAAAUUUUACUGUAACUUACUCUAGAAAUUUUUUAAAAAAAUAUUGAAUUGUGUUUUUUUUAAAAAUAUUUUAAAGUAAAUAGUUUAAAAAUUUUGAAAAGUUUUUUGAGGUUAAAAGUUUUCAAAAAGUUUAUUACAAAUAAAUUUGGCAAAAAACUUAGCUGGCAAACAAGGUCUUGGUUCGCACGUUAAUUUGGUCACUUUGAGCCUGCGGUACAAGACAGAGUUGGCCUCUUCUCCUAUUCCAGAGUACCACCCUCAAACAUCCUUAAGUUUUUAUUUUUUUGAAAUUUGAUUUUUGCUACUGAGUAGUGAGUGGGAGUGCUUUUUACCUGCUAUUUCUUGUUUCAGCCGGCGACGUUUCCUGUGUAAGUCUGGACACCUGGAAACUAAUCCUUGCGCUUUUUGUUGUUCCUUCUCAUCUCGUCUGCUAAAAAUUUUGGUCCUUUUUUUCGUUUUUGUGAAGUCAUUUCUGAAGAUGGCACUAACAAAGUCGUAUAAUGAUUGACAUUGUUUAGGUUAGAUGUUUUGAGGUCUGAAGGCUGCUGUUUAUAAUCUCAAUUCUGAUCAUGUUUGGUUUGAGAAAUGUUUAGCUGGAUCACUCCUUUCUAACUUCUUCUUUUUGAGUGUUUUCCGUUUCUUUUCCUUCUGGGUCUGCCCAAAAUGCUUUCAAAGUACUGCGCAUCAUCCCAGAUUCUAAAAUGGAAUUAGUAAUUGCAGUACCGAAACUGCAGCCUCCUUUACUUUGAAAAGAGGAGGAGGAGGGGGGGGGGCGGGCGGCCAAUUUUGAUUUCAUUUCUGCCUUUUGUAAUAAUUUAUAAUAAUAACCUUUUGGAUUCUUAUUCUUUUAGCUGAGUUCUCCAAGUAUUGUUUUAACAUGCUCAUCUUGUUUCCUUCUCCAGGAGAAUGAAAGGAUGAAUUCUUUGUGAGAUAAAAUCAUUGUAUGGCUAUGCUGUAUGUCGGUUUGGCAGAGGUCAUAGCAAAGAUGUCUUCACCUAUUUGGAUCACAUCGCUUUCUUGUUCCGCUUCUGUGGUACAAUCCUCAGAGGAUUCCACAGUUUCAGCCUUUGUUCAAUGGCUAAGGUUCCUUUUCCUGUCUCCCUGUCCUCAGAGAGCUCUGUCAUCUUCCAUUGCCAUUCUGCUGUGGAUAGCUUUCCUUGUUUUUGCAAUACAAAAACUAUGGUCUAGAUUUAGUACCAAACAUGAAUUGAGUUCUAACCUCAGCAAGCCUCUCAUUGAGAGCAGCACACCGCCUGUUAGAGCUAACCUUUGGUAUAAGUUGACUCUGAUUGCGACCGUUGUUUUAGCCUUAUCUUCCUUAAUUUUGUGCAUUCUGGCAUUCAAUGGAGGUAACCAGGGCUCAUUGAGGGUUGUCGAUGGACUAUUUUGGUUGCUUCAGGCAUUAACCCAUGUAGUGAUCACAGUACUAAUUCUCCAUGAGAAGAGGUUCAAAGCUGUUACUCAUCCAUUAUCUCUUCGGGUUUACUGGAUUGCAAGCUUCAUUAUCCAAGUUUUGUUCGUCACUUCGGCGCUUAUCCGCAUAAUAUCUGCCCGUGAAACUGAUUCAGUCUUGAGAGUAGAUGACAUUGUUUCAAUAACUGCAUUUCCUUUGUUGAUUAUUCUUCUGAUUGUUGCCCUUAAGGGGUCUACCGGUAUCCUAGUAAUUAGAUGUUCUGAAUCAAUAAUAAAUGGAGAGACCACAUUAUAUGAACCACUUCAGGAUAAAUCCUCCAAUGUGAGUGGGUUUGCUACAGCAUCCAUUGUAUCAAAAGCUUUUUGGCUCUGGGUUAAUUCUCUUUUGGUAAGAGGCUAUAAAUCCCCUCUAAAGCUUGAUGAUGUCCCAAUUCUCUCACCACAGCAUAGAGCUGAGCGCAUGUCAGAGCUGUUUCAACAGAAGUGGCCUAAACCUGAAGAAAAAUCAAAGCACCCUGUGAGAACUACAUUGUUUCGCUGCUUCUGGAAGGAAGUUACCUUCAUUGCCAUCCUUGCCAUUGUGAGGCUUUGCGUCAUGUAUGUGGGGCCUACACUGAUCGAUCGGUUUGUUGAUUAUACAUCUGGGAAGAGGACCUCAAUUUAUGAAGGAUACUACCUUGUAGUUGUUCUCUUGAUAUCCAAGUUUGUGGAAGUUCUGAGCUCACACCAGUUCAAUUUUAACUCCCAGAAACUUGGGAUGAUGAUACGCUCCACACUCAUUACUUCAUUGUACAAAAAGGGUUUGAGACUUUCAUGCUCAGCAAGACAAGCUCAUGGUGUUGGACAGAUUGUAAACUACAUGGCCGUGGAUGCGCAACAGCUUUCUGAUAUGAUGAUACAACUGCAUGCCUUAUGGUUGAUGCCAUUGCAAGUUACCGUUGCCUUAAGUAUCCUCUAUACUUACCUAGGCAUUUCGACCAUUGUAGCGUUACUUGGACUUGUAUCCAUUAUGGUGUUUGUGGCGUUUGGGACUGGAAGGAAUAACCGGUUCCAGUUCAAUAUCAUGAAAGAUAGGGACUCCAGAAUGAAAGCAACAAAUGAGAUGCUUAACUACAUGAGGGUAAUCAAAUUUCAGGCUUGGGAAGAACAUUUCAACAAAAGAAUUCAAUCUUUCCGUGAAUCAGAGUUUGCAUGGCUAACCAAAUUCUUGUACUCGUUUUGUGCAAAUAUUAUUGUGCUCUGGAGCACACCAGUAUUUAUAGCUACAUUGACAUUUGGAAGUGCGAUCCUGCUGGGGGUUCCACUUGAUGCAGGAACAGUCUUCACUGCUAUCUCACUCUUUAAAAUGUUGCAAGAACCUAUUAGGACCUUCCCACAGUCUAUGAUUUCACUCUCACAGGCAAUGAUAUCACUGGAUAGGUUGGAUAGGUACAUGAUGAGUAAGGAACUGAUGGAUGAUUCAGUGGAGAGGGUGGAAGGUUGUGGAAGUGAGAUUGCUGUGGAGGUGGAAGAUGGGGCUUUUAAUUGGGAUGAAGAAAGCAGGGAAGAAGUUGUAAAGGAUUUGAAUUUUAUGAUCAGAAAAGGCGAGCUUGCAGCGAUUGUUGGGACUGUAGGAUCAGGGAAGUCUUCACUUCUGGCAUCAAUUCUUGGCGAGAUGGAUAAAAUAUCAGGAAAGGUACAUAUGAAAUAUUUUUCAGGGCCUUAUCCCUAUAUCAAAUUGAUUACUUCACAUUUGUCACUGGAAAAGUACUCUUUUUUUUUUAGUGUGCCUUGUGUAUUUAUUUCUGUUCAUUGUAUGGUUCGUAAUCUGAUUGUUGCCUUGCACGUAAUUUGUCCAAGUAAUAGACUAUUCAGGGAUUUCACACAUCCUCUUCUUCUCCGCGUCACAGAUUCUCAUUUUGCUGAUACGAUUUAAAUGUCGUAUUGUGUUAUUCAGCAGACAGCAUGAGCACAAAGUGUUUAUCUUUUGGUAUACAUGAGCACAGUGAUUUGUUUUCUCUGGAUGUCUUGCUUGUGCAUCAGAGCUUGGUAACUGGAAGAUUUUGCCUUUUGCUACUUGUGGCCGACAGACCUAAGUUUGCCCAGUUGUUGGCUCAAGUAAUUGGAAACAUUAUGUCUAUUAUUGAAAAUCACAUAUAUUGUAAUUUUUCUCUGAAAAAUUGGUUCAAUUUCAACUUCCAAAGAUAUGGGUCCAAAUGAUUCAACCAUCAAACUCUAACCAGAUUACCUCUGAAACAUCGACCAAAUCUUCACAUAAACUUCUUGGGUUGGGGUGCGUAUUUGUCCUCGUUAUUCGACUCUUUGGGGGUUAUGAUUUACAUAUUGAAUGAUGGGCUAUUUGUCAUUUUCCAAACCCUAAAGUUCUUAUCCUUGGGAACACCUUUUAGUAUCAUUGGUGAACUACUUCUUAAUAGGGGCAGCCCAUUAUAUUCUUCUUUGUUGGCCACAAGUUGGUUGUGAGGAAAAGCUUCCUGAGUGUCAUGCAGGAAAGCUUCUUAUUUUAUAAUGCUAACACAUUUCAUUACAAGCUUACCAACUAUUUGUUGCUGCAGCUCAGGGUUUGUGGUACCACAGCUUUUGUUGCACAAACCUCAUGGAUUCAGAAUGGGACAAUUCAAGAAAAUAUCCUUUUUGGUCUGUCAAUGAACCAAGAGAGAUAUAAGGAAGUUCUUAGGGUUUGUUGUUUGGAGAAGGACUUGGAUAUGAUGGAGUUUGGAGAUCAGACUGAAAUUGGAGAGCGUGGCAUCAAUCUAAGUGGUGGGCAAAAGCAGCGAAUUCAACUUGCCAGGGCUGUUUACCAAGAUUGUGAUAUCUAUCUACUUGAUGAUGUGUUUAGUGCAGUUGAUGCUCAAACUGGUUCUGAAAUAUUCAAGGUGAUAAGAGUUUUGAAAUGAUUUUCAAAAUGGUUGUGAUAUCUAUAUCUUGAAAGUAUUUAAUGCUGUUUUAAGAUGUCCUAUUUCUCCAAUUAUUUGCCAAAUUAGAUGUGACCUGAUGUUUGUAGUAGCUACAGUCACUGACAUAAUUUUCUCAGUUUGGUCCUCUUCUUCUCCAUUUUCUUGUUAUUACUGUUAAAUGAGAACCAGAACAGAAGCCUGCUACUUGCGAAUGCCCAUUUGUUAAUGAUGUAUGAUGCUUUUGUUGACAUUUUAUGUUGAUCCCUUGGCUUCAUUCCUUGUAGGCUCCAAUUAACAUGAUUAUUAAGCUUUGAGUGACAUGCUUGUUAGUUGAUACAUAUUGUUCUGCAUUGACAUUGUGAUUCGUCUUUUUAGUUUCAAUUGAAGUUGUGAUAUUCCAGUAGCCCUAGUUGUUAGUUUAUCAGUUAUUAAAUGCUGUUUAACACUUUCCAGUCUCUCUUGCAGGAAUGUGUUAGAGGAACUCUUAGAGAGAAGACCAUUUUGCUUGUUACACACCAAGUUGACUUCUUACACAAUGUUGAUCUGAUCCUAGUAUGUCCUAUGCUCAUUUAUCCUCCUCCUUUCCUAGGUUGUACAUGUGUAUAUGUGGAUUCUGGCAUCAUAGACUUGACCUCUUAAUAUUGAAACCAGGUUAUGCGAGAUGGGAUGAUUGUUGAAUCCGGAAAUUACAAUGAUCUACUUGAAUCUGGGAAGGAUUUCAAAUCUUUAGUGGCUGCGCAUGAGUCAUCUAUGGAACUUGUUGAGGCAGAAAGCUCCAAGCGCAGGAAAACUUCAGUUGGUCAACCAACAUCUCCUCAAGCAUCUUUUAGUCCUAGACAAGAAAACGAUGACAUGAAAUCUCAAGAACAGACCCAAUCUGAUCGGGGAACUUCUAAACUUAUCAAGGAAGAGGAGAGAGAAACUGGGAAAGUCAGCUUACAUGUUUAUAAACUAUACUGCACUGAAUCUUUAGGGUGGUGGGGUGUGAUUGCGGUGUUGCUGAUUUCUGUGUUGUGGCAAGGGUCAUUAAUGGCGGGUGACUACUGGUUGGCUUAUGAAACAUCAGGAAAGCGUGCUAUGUCAUUCAAUCCUUCUGUUUUUAUUGGGAUAUAUGGUAUUAUAGUAGCUGGUUCCUUUGUGCUGAUAUUGAUUAGAAUUUUUUUACUUACAUUCAUGGGGCUUAAGACGUCCCAAAUAUUCUUCAAAGGAAUUCUUCACAGCAUAUUGCAUGCUCCAAUGUCAUUUUUUGAUACUACACCUUCUGGAAGAAUUUUAAGCCGGGUAACGUUUUCUACACUUUCGGAUUGGGUUGUCCAUUUUGGUGCCAAGCUGGAAAAAAUAAAAUCAUGUCCAUAUGUACAUUUAGCUACAUUAGAUUACAUGGGGAAAAAACUAGAUUAUAUAAAAGAAAUGUUCAAAGUAACUGAACAUGUUUCAAUUACUGGAUUCAUUGAUAUGUUGUGUCAUAAAAUUUUGCAGGCGUCAAAUGAUCAGACUAAUAUUGAUGUAGUUGUCCCACUUUUUACAAACUAUUUCAUUUCCAUGUAUAUCACACUAUUUGGGAUCAUCAUCAUCAUAUGUCAAAAUGCUUGGCCAACCGUCUUACUAUUGAUUCCACUUGGCUGGCUGAAUUACUGGUUUCGGGUAUGUGCAUCAUUUAUGGAGCUUAAAGGUUAAAUUGUUUCUGUGUAACUAAGACUUUUAACCAUUCUUUGGCAAGAGAUAGAUAAUUAGUGCUAAGACUAAGUUAUUCCUCAUUUGGGUUGCAGAGGUACUAUCUUGCAACAUCACGUGAAUUGACUCGGCUUGACUCUAUUACAAAAGCACCUGUUAUCCAUCACUUCUCGGAAAGUAUAUCUGGAAUUACGACAAUCCGUUGUUUCAGGAAGCAGGAAAGGUUUUGCGAGGAAAACGUUAACCGUGUGAAUUCGAACCUGCGUAUGGACUUCCACAACUACGGGUGCAAUGAAUGGUUGGGUUUUCGUUUGGAACUCAUGGGGAGCUUCAUCCUUUGCAUUUCUGCAUUGUUUAUGAUCGUGUUGCCGAGCACUAUCAUCAAGCCAGGUGUAUAAUCUACUUAAAUCCUUAGUAAUGACAAAGUACUAGUUUUUUUUUUGGUUAUAUUGAUAUAAAGGCAUGACUCCCGAUUUAUCAGUUGGUGGUAUUAUUACCUGGGAAAAUAAGGUUGUUAAUAGGUUAAAACUGAAGACAUAGUUUUCAUCUUUCUUGACGAAAUAGACUCUUAACUGGUCAACUGGAUUAUUAAACCUUUGAAAUAUCAUAAUAUCUAGUAUAAUCAACCUUUUUUUCUUUUCUGUCAUUUUAAUGGGGUUUCUCAAGUCCAUUAGUAAAGGAAUUUUCAAAGAUCAGGUUACAGAACUAAUUUCUUCAUAUAAUUCUCAUUUCAUUCCUGUUAUCAUUUGCUGCCUACAAAGUUUAUAAAUGGAUGAUACAACUGGAAAAUAUAAUGUCCCUUCCAGUCAUCAUUCUCCUGUGUCCUUGCUACUGCAAUUAGCUUUUUGCAAUAGAGAUGUUACUGAUCUACACUUUGCUGCUCAGAGAACGUGGGGUUAUCUCUCUCCUAUGGAUUGUCCCUCAACAGUAUGCUUUUCUGGGCAAUAUAUGUCAGUUGUUCUUUGGAAAAUAAAAUGGUUUCAGUUGAGAGGAUAAAGCAAUUUACAAAUAUACCAUCAGAAGCAGACUGGAAGAAAGAAGAUUGCCUUCCUUCUCCAGAGUGGCCAAACAAGGGCAAUGUUGAGCUCAUAGAUUUACAGGUAGCUCAAUCUGCAUUUCUUCAAGUUUGUAUGAUGAAUAGCUGCUUCAUUAAUAUGGUAUUCUGUAAGUUUCCAGAGAUUCAUUUGUAUGUAUUCUGAACAGGUAAGAUAUCGUCCAAAUACCCCUCUGGUUAUCAAAGGAAUAACACUCAGCAUAAAAGGGGGUGAGAAGAUUGGUGUUGUUGGUCGAACUGGGGGUGGAAAAUCAACUUUGAUCCAGGUUUUCUUUAGGUUGGUGGAGCCUUCAGGAGGAAGAAUCAUUAUUGAUGGCAUUGACAUUAGCACUCUUGGGCUGCAUGAUCUUAGGUCUCGAUUUGGAAUCAUCCCUCAAGAACCUGUUCUUUUUGAAGGAACCGUGAGAAGCAACAUUGAUCCAAUUGGACAGUAUUCUGAUGAAGAGAUAUGGAAGGUAAAAAGAACUAUUACUGUUAGUAGUUGAGUUUGGACCUCAAGCUAAAUAGAUUUCCCCCAGCAUGUGCCAUAGUUUUAACAUUUACUAGUAUGCAGCAUCUGUCGACUGUGGUUACUUCACUUUUCUAAUGUGUGAUUUUGUGAUUCUGUUCCAUACAUAGAAACCAUGCUUGCCGAGAUAGGUUGUAGCGUCUUAGUCCUUCUGUUUUUCUAUAGUUAAUACUCACGGAUCCGUGAACUUAUGAACCACAGAGCCUUGAGCGCUGCCAGCUUAAGGAGGUAGUAGCUGCAAAGCCCGAUAAGCUGGACUCUUUAGGUACUGUAGCAUAAUUCUGAUCAGUUGCUUCUAUUUUGUUCUCAGUUGCUGUUAUUAGUUAUCAAUGCUACCGCUGAGAGAAUAUGAAUUUUCACUGGUUAAUGUUUUUAGUUGUUGAUAAUGGAGAAAAUUGGAGUGUCGGGCAGAGACAGCUUCUCUGUUUGGGACGUGUAAUGCUAAAACGCAGCAAACUUUUAUUUAUGGAUGAGGCGACUGCCUCAGUUGAUUCACAAACAGAUGGCGUGAUCCAGAAGAUCAUCAGGGAGGACUUCUCUUCCCGUACAAUUAUAAGCAUUGCCCAUAGAAUUCCAACAGUUAUGGACUGUGAUAGAGUUCUUGUAAUUGAUGCAGGUUUGUGGCUCUCCCACCCCUUAGUUCAGCCAUGCUUCAUCACAUACUGACAUUAGCGGACCUAGUACCAUUCUGAAGUCGCAAGCAUCUUUGUUUUCAUUUAUUUUUCGUUUCUUAUUUCUUGAGUAAAUAAUUCCUCUGGGAACAAGUAGACUGUCAAAAUGUCGCCAUUUUGGCCUGCCUUUGGUCUGUUCCCGAUUGCAUGCAGCAGAUUACCAAAAUUAAUCAUGUCCUUUUUUCCUAUGAUUCUGUUGCGCUCUGACUUUGCCUGGUCUGGGUUUAUUCUUCAUGAUUGCACCUGAUAGAGAUUUCCUGCUUUCACCAAAGCUCGGUGAAAUGAUUAUUGUUUUUCUUUUUGUGCAUUGAACAGGUAAAGCAAAAGAAUUUGACAAGCCAUCGAGUUUGCUGGAGAAGCCUUCUCUCUUUGGAGCAUUGGUUGAGGAGUAUGCCAACCGAUCUUCUGAACUCUAGCUCUGAUCCUAGCAUUCUUGGAAUGGGCUGAAGAUUGAUUCUUGUUGGUUGAAUUAUAUUUUCCACAACUUCGGCCCCGUUUGGCAAACCUGAGUUUUUUGGAAAUUUAUUUAAAAUUUUACUGUAGAUCACCGUAAAAGUUGUAGAAAAACUUUUGUAAGAUGAAAUUUUUUUUUUUCUUUUCAUUCUCUUUCUUUCUUUUUUCUUUUCUUUCGUCCCUCCCCUGUUCCCUUUCCCAAAAUUGCUGAAGCAGCAAAAGAAAACUUUUUUUUUUUGCAUUUUUUCUCUCCCCAUCUCCUACCCGCCACCCCUCUUCUCCCUCUCCCUCUCCCUCUCCCUCUCCCUCUUCCCCUCUUCCCCUCUUCUUCCUCUUUUGGCUUGCCGCUAUAUUAAAAUCUUGUGAACAGACUACAUAAACUUGUUUGUUUGUGGUCUUCACUUUGACAAUUAUGCAUUCGUUUGGUUCAAACCUUGCGAAGGAAAACCAGACAAAUCAAUUGCAAUCCUAUAUGUAAGCAGAUUAUUAAUCACAAUUCACAAGCACUAGAAAUCAGUAUGUGAAAACAAUCGGAGAUUGGCCGCGCUCGAUGUUGAGUGUUGGCUAAAAAUCCAGUCCAAUAAGGUGCAGUUGGAUCAUUAUGUAGCUCAGUCAGUGUCGAAUGUUUCAGAAAUUGCACGCCUCAACUGGAUCUCUCGUCUUUUUGGGUUUAUCUAUUGAAGUAGUGAACUAUUGAUUGGAUUGAGGCUACAGCGAGCGGAGAGGCCUCAUCAAAAAAUUUCCCCCCUUUUUUAAAGGGGACGCAGAAACUUUUUUCAUUUCCUUUUUUUUUUUGGGUGGUCUUCAGGUAAGAUUUCAGAAAAAAGCUGUAUGUUGAUGCCAAAGGUUUAGAACACGUCUCAAUUUUACAAAUGUGCGAUCUGGUCGCAAGAGACCAGAUCGGCCAGAGGGGAAGGGGAAGGGUGGUGGGGGAAGGGGAAGAGUGGGGGAGAGGGAGAAAGGAAAAAAAAAAAAAAAAAAGACCAGCACCGGAAGAGGUGAUCGGCGCUGGAACCGGCGCCGGAGGUGGCGGUAAGUUGGGGUGGGGGAGGAAGAAGAAGAAAAGGGAAAGGGAAUUUCUUUUUUUUUUUUUUUGAUGUUUCGAAGUGUGUAGGUAAAAAAUUUUGAGAUAUUUUUUUAGAUUACUUAAGUUAAAGUUGAUAAAAAACUAGUAUAAGACAAACUUGAGUAAAAACUAAAGUUCCAAACAGUAAAAACUCACGAUUAUAAUUCAAUAAUUUAGGAUAAGAAGGAAAUUGUAAUCAAUGAAUCAUAUGAUACAACAGAACAGUUCCCUAGGCUUUUCACCACAGUAUACAUACCACCACAUAAAUUUUGUUGAAAUGUCAGAAGAAGCUGGAAGUUAACCGUCAUUCCUUUCCUUAAUUUAUAUGACCAAAAAGAGUUUUGAGGAAAAUCGGCAACAAGGGCUGAUGCACGCGUAUGAGAGUAUGCAAUAAUAAACACAGGUGCUACAGCAGGUGAGCUAAUACAGUUUUAAACUACUUAUUUUUCUUGAACUAUAUGAUAGUUCAUUUUCAUCCAACUGUUACAAUCUUUAAACACAGCCGUGUGCCCACAACAUUGCAAGGUGAAUUACAACCAUUUUAAUUUUGAUGGUCAACCAAUUGAUCUGAUAACCGUCCAGAGUAAUAAAUUUGGAGGUUUCGUUGAAUGUUGUAAAAAUUCCUUCUUUAGCUCCAUGGAGCAUGGUGUCCGAAAAUUUUCAACCCUAGAUGGAUUGCUCAAACCAAAAAAUUAUUCGCCAAGGGAAAGAAUAAACAGACCUGAUGUCAAGUUCAUGUGGAGAUAAACAUUUUGUUUGGCCUAAAAUUGUGAGAAGUUUGAUAGUUCUUAAGAUUCAGUUGGAAUGUACAAAACCAGUCUUCUGAUGGCCAGACAAGGAUAUGCAAAUAUAUAAGACUUUCUGGUAGACUUGAAUAAUCCAUUGAGCAGGACACAAAUUCGUUCACUUGAUGUUAAAUCUAUGGAACAGAUGAAAAAGUGUUUAGUGAAACAUUUUCAAUAGAUUCCAGCCUGUUGACUACAUGACCAAAAGCAGGACAGAUUGGUAGGGAAGAACUUAAAAGUGAAGACUUCUAAGUAUUUACCUCUCUGCAAAGGGGGCACUUUUCCUUGGGACUAGCUGCCUUUAAUCCAUCCACUAUGGUCACUGAUCCUGCCUUGCAACCACACAUGUAGCAGAAUAUAUGACCGCAAGUCAAAGACACUGGAUCAAAAACUGUAUCCUGUUGGAGAAGAGCAGCUAAUAAAAAGCUCAACAUUGUGAAAAGAGUAGCUAAUCUGAUAUGAUGAAUUUUACAGUAUUGAUAAGACUUAAGGUAGAGUUUCUUCAUAAGAAUUAUCAGCAAGAAUCAAAUAUCAAUAAGAAAAAGCAUAAGAUAGUUACUCAGGUUAAUGAAAUAGCUGGCACGCUUACAUGAGAUAAUAAAGAAACUAACCAAGCAUAUCGAACAAGUCAAGUCCAGUUCAAGCUUGACUGAAUCAAAGAGCUCACAAGAAAGAGAAGGCUUUUCAUCUUUAAAUAUGAGGGAACAGCCGUUGAACAAUGCAGGAAGCAUUCCUUGUUUUGGCCUUUGUCUCUUGCGAAUUUGUGUGAAAGGCCAUCAGCUCACAUAGCCAUGGUGAUUGGAGAAUCUCAAGGUUCCUACUGUGCGCUUGAGACUUAAAUGCUUGGCCUUGCUUGGAGUAGUGUAUCUGUAGAAAAAAUCAACAACUGGUAAGGCAAUAAUUUACACAAAUCAAAUCUCCCAACUUAAACAAAUCAAAAUACAAAAUUAAAUUAUAAAUAAUUCGGAAUAGUCAAUCUAAAACUAACUACAAAUCAAUCUACAAAAUCAUUACUAAAUUAUUAAUUUGAUAAAAUAAUGUAUUUAGAAAUAUUUAUAUUUUAUAAUUAUUAAUAUAUUAUUCGAGUCAGGAUCAGAAUCCUAUAUUUCGUAUGCGAUCUGUUUUUUUUUUUUUUAUUUGUUAAAGUAAACGGACACGAGUCCGGAUUCGAGUAUCGAAAUUAUUUUUCAAUCCAAAUUCGAAAAAAAUUAUCGAAUCCGGAUUGGAUCCAAGUUGGGUUAUAAAUAAAUAAAUAAAAAGGAUGAUCGAAAUUUUGACGGUGCUAAAAUAGGCUUCUCAAACGUAGAUUGAUCCAAGCUGGGCUUUGCGAGCUGGCCAAUUCGCAUUGAGGUUGGAGGUGCAUUUUUAUUUUUCCCUUUUUUUGACCGAGAUUACGAGAAUUGAAGAGCUAAAUAUAUUUACUUUGAGGAUCAAUCACAGAGCGUUUGGUAGUGGAAUCGAGAAUUUGAGGCAACAUGAGAGAGUUAAUAAUAGACGCUUGAAAUGAGAAAGGAUGGAUGGGAUGGUUGCACAUUUUUCAAGAUCAAAAGAUGAACAGGAAUAAGAGCAAUUCAACAAAAAUAUCAUCAUCUCAUUUUAUAGACGCCUUUGAUAUUUUGUCAUGUAGCUGGCUUUGAUAUUGCUUACAAUCAUCGAGGGGAUUACGAAGUGAAACGCCAACACGCAUAGGGUUUUAAGGUAUUUUACUCUUAAAUGUUGGUUUUAUUCAGAAUUACUAAUUGGGUAGGAGUGAAGUAUCUCCAUCUCCAACUCUCUCAUAUUCCAUUGCAAGGUAUGCGUAUUUUUUCUCGUACAAUUUCUUGAACAUUUGAAAUUAUGUUUGUUUGCCCACCUAAUUUUUUUGUGAAAAAUUAUUUUUCUUGCAAUAUAGAUAUAUUUUUUUAAUGAUCUUUUUAUAUUUCAACCAUCUUUCACAUACAUCAUAUUACAAAAAAACUGUUAUAAUAUUUUUUUUGGAUAAAAUUUUCAAAUAAUCUUCUAUUCAAAGACGCUUAAUCCUCAAAUUUUAAGGUACAAAUUGAUCCAUAAAGUUAAAAAAAAACAAAGCUUUUUAAAAUUUUUCUAAAUGCUCAAAUACACAAAAGUUUUUUCACAAAAUUUUUUAAAGAAAUACACCUUCCAAAUGACCCCAAAAUUUGGGUCAAGUUUGCGUCUCAUCCAACACAAGAUUCAUGUGCGGAAAACUGAAAAGUAAACAACGUACGUCUUGGAAAAUCAAUCACCAGAUUCGUAUCUAUAAAAAGUAAACAAAGCAGGUUUUGGAAAUUUGAUCAAGAGAUGCAUUUGGUAGGGAUUUGGGUCACAUCAGGACAUCUUCUCAUUAACAGCAACAAAAUUACUGGAGAGUGAAAAUGGAUGCUGAAUUAGUGUACCUGUGUCUACUGUCUCCUAUGUAAAACCGCUCGUUUGAGAUAAUCAACAGUUGGUAUAUAAUUACUUUAAUUUGAAGUUAAACCGAUACUCAAAUAUAGUAUUAAUUGAUACGCAGCACAAUAUAUCUCAGGUUUACCCUAAUUACCAUGUAACAAUGUUACAUUUUGACCAAAAAAAAAAAAAAAACUAUGUGACAAUGUUUGAUGCACCGCGUACAAGAGUGACAAUGGGUCGGGUUCGGAUGAGAAUUGAAAUUUUUGGAUCCAACCCCGUUUUUUAUGUGGUAGACCUAUAAUCGAUUCGUAUGUUCGACGGGUCUUAACUUUAGAGGUUUAGAAUCGAAUCCGCCGAGUCUCAAAUUGGAUUUGAGUCUACUCGAAAAGAAAAGAUCCAAAAUAAAUAAAAAAUCAAUCACAAAUCAAAUCUCCCAACUUAAACAAAUCAAAUUACAAAAUUAAAUUACAAAUAAUAACUCUCAAUAGUCAAUUUAAAACUAACCACAAAUCAAUCUACACAAUCAUUACUAAAUUAUUAAUUUGGUAAAAGAAUGUAUUUAGAAAUAUUUAUAUUUUAUAAUUAUUAAUAUAUUGUUCGAGUUCGGGUCAGAAUCCUAUAUUCCGUAUUUGAUCUGUUUUUUUGUUAAAGUAAACGGGUACGAGUCCGGAUCCGAGUAUCGAAAUUAUUUUUCAAUAUAAAUCCAAAAUAAAUUAUCGAGUCCGAAUUGGAUCCGGAACUAAACCCGACCCAUUGACACCCCUAACCAAGUGGUACCUGCCAACACACGUUGUACUCUCUACAAGUAUUAUAAAACCCUCUUCAUGGUUGGAUGUUGAAAAAUCCAUGAAAGCGUUUAAAAAUCAACGAUGUGAUAAUAAUCAUAAAAAUUUCUUUGCUUUUUGUUUCAGUAAUAUAUGGGGUGGUGCCAAUGGGAGAGUCGUAGUUGGUGAAGAAGACCACAAAAGUUAGAAAAAAGCAGUCAAUUGAUUCCUGGAUUCUACUACAGCCGGUAACACUGACGAAAGGAAAGUAAUGGACAGCAGAAAACGAAAGUAGAAAAGUAAAAGCCGGACAUUAAACGAAAAGGAGCAAACGUCUGCGCUGUUUGGAGCCUUCGUGCAUGGGCUGGGCAGUAGCAUUCGGUGACCCCCGCGAGUCCUCGUUUUGCACUCAUAGGAAUUAUGAUCAAGCCCACAUCCUACCGUAAGAUACUACCACAAAUUCAACAAGAUCAUAACAAUGUAGCAGUAGUAGUCUUACUGUUGAGUCUUUCUUACACGGAAAUUUCGCAUCAUAAUAGUAGUACUAUCUACCCUGUAUGUUCUUGAGUUCUUUUUUUUUGUAGUGCCCUUUUUAAAUUGUUUCCGAAUGGCAAAUUGUGUAGUAUUUGGGAAGAGUUUCUCUCGGCAAUGGUAAGUUACAAUUUUUAAAACAAUUUAUGGUGGUAGACUUUUCAUUGAAUAGUUGUGAUAGAAAAUAAGGCCUUGUUUGGACAGCAAUUUUUCAAAUGCUACAUUUUUCUGAACAUAUUUCUCAAUCAUUUUUUUAUCUCACAUAUAUCAAAUCGCUAUAGUAAUUUUUUUACAAAAAAUCUAGAAAAAUGCAAGCCAAACAAGGCCUAAAACUUGGAGAGGACACUUGCAAUGCAUUCUCGGAUGUGCAUAGCGGGGGAUGCAGAGAGGGAAAUUUGUCAAAUUGGUCCCUAACAUUUACACAAAAAAUUUUUUUAGUCCCUAACAUUUAAAAGCAACUGGAAUAGUUAUUAACAUAUAAAUUAUUAUCCAUUUCGGUCCUAAUACUCGUAUUUUCUCAUUUUUUCGACUAAAAAUAGCACGCCUCUCUCACGUGGGCAUGUUUUGCCCUUGAAAAUAUGCCCAUGUGAGAGAGACGUACUAUUUUUAGUUGGAGAAAUGAACAAAUACGAGCAUUAGAACCAAAAUGGAUCAUAAUUUAUAUGUUAAGGACUAUUUUUGCUGAUUUUAAAUGUUAGUAAUUAAAAAAAAAUUUAUGUAAAUAUUAGGGACCGGUUUGACAAAUUUUCCUGGAGAGAAUUCAGGGCUAUUUAUUCAUCAUAGCAAUUUUUAUUAUUUUAAAUGGUGUUUGGAUUACCAUUUUUUGUUACAUUUUUUUUUAUAUUUUGCAUGAACAUUCUAUAAAAUCUCUAAAAAAAAAGAAGUAAUAUUAGCAUUAAAGUGUGGGGUUCGGUGCCACGGCCUAAAGCUAACGACCUAAGGUCAUCUUGUGGGCAUGGCUUUGCGGGUCAAAGAUUGCAAUCCACUUAAGAAAUGACGUGAGCUAUGACGACUACGCUUUCAGCACAACACGAGGAACGGGCGACGUCGCAUGGAAAUUGGAAUUGAUUGAUCGAUGCAGUUUGUCUUUGUCCUCCGCCUGUCUCUAUACUUUUUAUUUUAUUACUUUUCGGGAACAAGAAGAAAUCAGCAGCGGCAGUACUGGCGCCCUGCCCCCGGCCACACACGCUCUUCGUCGGAGAGCCAUACAACGGACGGGACAUGAAUCCACCUUCGUCUGAGUGCUGACAAACAACAUCCAACCUUUUGUGCAUAAAUCUUUUUGAUCUUUUCUGCUUCUGUGAUAGUAAAAUUUAUUAACGAGCAAAGCAAAAACUCGAUGCGACGGUUCCUUCUCUGCCUGGUUUGGAAGCUUUUGCAUUUAUUGGAGUCCUCCCAAAGAGGAAACCAGUUCGUUCACGUUAGUGCGACUACUAUUAUACUACAUCUGUUUCCAUACAUUUUCUUGCAGAAGUAAGCAUGUUUUUACAAAUAAAUCUAAUUUCUACAGUAAUUUUAAAAGCCGGCAACGUCCUGUGAGGGACUUAUCUACCCAAACACCCAACCCCCCAAUCUGAUGUGGGAUAGAAAAUCCCACAGGAUACCCUGCUGUUAAGAAGUAACUGCCCCCAAACCCCUGCUACUAUUAUACUACAUCUACGUCGGCAGGAAUUGAAGUUUUGCCAUCUACUUCUGAUGGCACAGUACAUUAAUGAAUGCAAGCUAUUUUAGUUUUACCCCCCGCCCCACCAAUAUUCGAUAAAUGUCCAUCUAGUCCUCCUGACCAAAAGCUUUACAAUGCACGCUUGCGGUCUCUGAAUUUUAUAGCUUCACCUGUUUUUUCUCUCUGUCUUUUUCGUUUGAAGGAUGUAACUACAGGUUCUAGGUGGUGCAAAGAAGCAUUUCUGAAGAUGUUCGUUUUCUUUAAGAAAAAUGAAAAUUAUAAUUAAUCUUCCAUUUUAUCUUCCCUCUAUUUACCGAAACAAGUUCUUUGUAUAAAGUAGCACUACUUUUUUAUUAAACUAGAAAACCAUGCACGCAAAAUUACGGCUUUCAUUCGGUGCCGCCACUUCUUCCGGAAGCUGUUUUGCCUACCAAAAAAGAAAUAGAGGAAGAAUAUUCCACUUCUUCGUUACGUACUAGACUAGUACUACCAGUAUUUACAGAUUGCUAUCUUCAUGGCCACUUAUUCAAACAAAAACUUUGACCAAUAGGUGCAACAAAUUUGACCUAUAAUUAUAUAAACUUCUGCACCAAGUUAAUUGCGUUUUUCUCACGGAUGUGACCAGGCAAUUCCAAUGGUCAAAUACCGCUUUAAGAUCACUCAUUUGUUGGAUAGAGUACUGUAUUAUUCCAAAUAAUUAUUUGAAAUAAUUACUGUAGCAUUUUUUGUAAUGUAACGUAGACGUAAGAUAAAAAAAAUAAAUUAAAAAAUAUGUUUAUAGUACAAGCGAAAAUUUUUUUAAAAAAAAAAUUGGCUAUCCAAACAUAGGCGAGGACGGCCACUCAUAUUUCGAUGCAAUUUGCUCCAUCACGUGCCAGGAAAUUUACAAGCGAUUCUAUUGUACUUUAUGGGGAUUUCACAUCUUCAACUUAAAUUCACAAUUAGAUGGUGGAACAAGUUUUUUUAAACCCUUAAAUUGUGUUAGUUUUAAUUAUUUCAAAUUCGAAUCGUUAUUAUUACUAAUAAAUAAAAAUUAUGGGAAUAGUUCCUAAAAGGACUAUAGAAUUUUCCUCUAUUUUAAAUUUAGAACUUUAGUAAUAUGCAUUUUCCGAGUUUUUCUGAACAGCUUAAAAUCGAUUGUUAAUGUUAAGUUUUGAUGCAUGUCUUUUACAAUAUGAUUCUUGCUUGCACAAAUUGAAAGUACUAUAGUAAUUUUUCACAAAAUAAUCAUACAAAAAAAUUAUUUAGCUAAAUAGCUGGAUUACUUUUUUUCUUUUUGGUUUUCUAAACUAAGCUAUUGGAUUGCAUAGGACUAUAAUCGAAGUGAUAAGGUUGUAGUGGGCAUCGAUUUGAACACCAGCGAUGUUCAAGCAUUUUGGAUGGUAUUCAUGCUACCAUUUCUAAUGUUUAUUUUUAUUUUUUAAGAAUUCGCUCUUUUCUUUUCUUUUCUUUCUUUCUUCUUUCUUUUUUUUUUUUUUUUUAGUUGAGAGACCUUGUAUGCACGGAUCUCUUAUUUUCAAUAUUUCCUAGUCUACCGUCCAACCCAACUCUUCUCCAAUACAAUAAUAUUUAGUUUGAUUAUAUCUUAGUAUGUGUCCUAUCAUUUUUUGCUAGUUUUAAUAUUAAAAAAACUGUUCAAAAACCUUUCACAUAUUUCACUAAAUGAAUUUUUUUGGCCUUACUUUUAAAAUAUUAAUUUUACGUUCUUUAUAAAUUCAAGUUAACAGUUUUUUGGUCACAAACUAAAAUUUUAACCCAUUUCUUAAUCUGAAAAUCACUACAUGACCAUAUGUAAUUAUAUUUUAUGUACAAAAAUGGUCAGAUUCCACUUUUUUAGUGGAAAAUGAAUUUUUGUCACUCAAAAAGUGAAAGCUGAACUUUUUGUGUAUAAAAAGUGAUUAUGUGCAGGUCAUAUGGUGAUUUUAGGUUAAAAGGUGAUUGAAAAUAGAAGUUAGGACCAAAUUCUGUAAACUUAAAUUUAUAAGGGAUGUAAAAUUAAUAUUUAAAAAAAAUAACAAAAAAAUUUACUUGACAAAAUAUGAUGGGCGUUUUAAACUAUUUUUCCAACGCUCAUUAUGAUACACUUAACGGACUUAUCACACAAUUCAAGCGGCCAAAUAAGCAUCUAAUUGUACAUAUUUUUUUACACCCAGUAUUCGUUUAGUUCAUACAUAAAGGCUCUACUAAUAACAUUUUUUCUCCAUGUUUAUUGUGAGGGAAAUGUUGUCAUCAUUCUUCUAUACAGGUUAUAUAACGACAAAGGCUCUUGACUUUUUUGACGAUGUAAAUUAGAUAAAAGUUCCUUUAUUCUUCAUUACAUUCGUAGUCACUCUCCUUUUAUCAACUUAUAAAUUAAAGUAAAAUAUAAGAGGAUAGCCAAUAACAAUUUCUUACUCUAUCCAUCACACUUUGAUGGUGUUGAUAUUUUUUUUCACACAGUUAAACAAAAAUUAGUUGAUUUUAUUGAAAUUGCAAAUCUGGCUUAUUAUUUUUCUAAAAUAUCCUUACAUUAACAUUAAUUAUUUCAAAUAUUAAAAUUUAUAAUCUGACUAAUCAUUACACCUUUACAUUAAUUAUAACAAUAGCACUAAGGGAAAGUUGUACCAUUCAAGGUGUGAAUCAAAUCAAUUAUUGAAUAAGAUAGAUUAUAUUUACUAAUAAUAAAUUACUUAAAUAAAGACAUUUUAGAAAAGUUAAAAAUUAACUAUAUUUUUUAAUUGAAAAGUAACCUAUAAUUUAGCAUGGAUAAUAAAAUAAAAUAAAAUAAUUUAGCAUGGGGGUGAUGGAGUAAUCUAAUUUCGAAUAUUCUCUUUUACUUUCGAGAAAAAUAAAAUAAAAUAACUAUUGAGCAUGCCCUCUUAAAAUCAAUGAUAACCAUUGAUCCGUUAGCAUCUAUGGGUGUGUUUGGAUUGCAUGUUUUUAGAUUUUUUUUUUAUAGAAAAAUUAUUGUACUAAUUUGAUAUAUGUGAGAUAAAAAUAUGAUUAAAAAAUGAGUUCAUUGAGAAUGUAGCAAAAAAUUUUUUUUUUUUUGAAAUCUGCAAUCCAAGCAAAAUAUGAAAUAAUGAUUGGUCAACUUUGAGUUCUUUCCUAUUUAAGGACAUAUAGCGAUUGGCAAUAGAAAUAGUCCCUACGAAGUUUCUUGGACUUGGGAUACCAAGAACCAUGGAGAUCGAGAUGGUUGUAGUUAGAGGUGUAAAAAUGGGUGACUUGGGCGGGUUUGGGUUGGGUAAAAUGGGUAAUGGGUAUAAGUGAGUCAACUCAUUUAUACCCAUCUAAUUACCCAUUUAAUUAGAUGGGUAUAAAUGGGUAAGUCAAAAAAUGAAUUGGGUAAUCCAAUUACCCAUUUAUAACCCAUUUAUUUUAAUUUUUUGUAAAUUCAUUUAAAUUCAUUUUUGCAAACUAAGUUAUCAAUUUAUACCACUAUUUGUACCCAUCAUUAGUUUUAAAUAUUUAUUUAUAAUGUUCAAUAAACUUAAUUACCAAUUUUUUUUUCAUUUAUACUCUAUGUCACAAAAUUACCUAUUAUUUAAUAAUUGAAUAAUAAGAAUAUAAAAAUUUGAACUAAAUACUAUAAAAAUUAAUAUAAAAACUUAAUCCAAAAAUUUUGAACCCCUAACAUUUUUUUCAUAUAUAAAUUUAAAAUUUCAUUUUAGAAAGAUAAGAAAAUAGGUUAAAAUUUACCAUAAAUUAGUAAUGCUGAAAAAUGAGUAAGUUAACAAACUAAGAGAAAAAUAAAAUAAUAAGAUAAAACCAAUAAAUAAUAAUAAUAAUAAUAAUAAUAAUAAAACAAAAGUAGUUAACAUCAUGACAAAAUGAAAAAUUUGAAAAAAAAAUUGGUGGGGGAAAAGAAGAGACUUGGGGGAAGAGAAUUAUAAAUAAGUUAAUUGGGUUUGAUGGGUUACCCAAUAAUACCCAUUUAAUAAAUGGGUAUUAUUGGGUAACCCAUUUAUACCCAUAUACAAAAAUUUAAGAUACUCAUACCCAUCUAUUCAUGGACUGGUAUGGGUAAAUUUAAUUAACUGGGUUGAUUUGUCACCUCUAGUUGUAGCUAAUAAAUGCAAGAGCUACAAGAAGAUCAUCGAAAUGAUUAAAAGCCUAUUAUUGGAAAUAACGAAGAAGUCAAAUUUUUGAAUAUUGGUUGAUCAGAGUUUCUAUUAAAUAACCUCACCCCUUUAGGUGAGGGUUCAAACCUCACAUGCAGCGAAAAAAUUUUAAGGGUUGUGCCAUAAUAAUUUUUUGAUCUAAUUGAAUUUGUAUACUCAUUAGCCCCUACCAUAGCCUCUUUGGACUCCCCCUCCCCCCUUAGAGUAGGUUAUAAAAAUGUAUCGUAACUGACAAAAAAAAAAAAAGAGUUUCUAUUAAAUAACCAAUUAAGAAAAACCUUUGCCUAAUACCAAAAUGACGAUGACCAUUGCUUCCACAGCAUUUGAUAUCAGCAUGUGGCACUUGUAGUAGCAGUGGUGACAAUAAUGGUAUUGUCGUUGAUCCAUAUUCCACAAAACCGUAAUUGACACGAUUAACGUAGUAGAAUAAUUUGUCCUCCAAUUUUUUACUACUGGUUUUUUUUUUUUUGUCGUCUAGCUGACUUCUCCAUGUCCGUGGCGGCUGUUUUGGUAUUUAAAGCCUAAGCCGGGCAAUAUUCAGCCUCUUCGCUCUCUUGGACAGCGAUUCCAGAAGCCCGGGAACCACCGGUGUCAUUCAAAUCGCUGUCUGGAACAAAAAAGAGUCCGGAGGUCUGUCCUGAAGGGGCCUAAAUCCCCGUAUACUUUUACACCAGAGGGAGAGAAGGAGAGGAAACUCAGUGAGAGGCUUCUCCAGCAUCCUAGGAUCAAUAUAGGUAUCUUUAUUUUAUUCUUAUCACGUACCAUCUCCUCGCUGUAGGUGCUUGCAUGAUGAUUUGGUCUUGAACUUGGUUUGUACGUUAAUUUGGUCACUUUGAGCCUGCGGUACAAGACAAAGUUGGUCUCUUUUUCCUAUUCCAGAGUUCCACCCUCAAACAUCCUAAAGUUUUACUUUUAUUUUUAUUUUUUUAAAAUUUGAUUUUUGCUACUGAGUAGUGAGUAGGAGUGCUUUUUACCUGCUAUUUCAUUUUUCAGCCGGCGACGUUUCCUGUGUAAGUCUGGAGCACCUGGAAACUAAUCCUUGCGCUCUUUGUUGUUCCUUCUCAUCUCGUCUGCUAAAAAUUUUUGUCUUUUAUUUUGUUUUUGUGAAGUCACUAUUCAAGAUGGUACUAACAAAGUCAUAUAAUGAUGAUAUUGUUUAGGUUAGAUGUUUUGAGGCCUAAAGGCUGCUGUUAAAAUCUCAAUUCUGAUCAUGUUUUGGUUUGAGAAAUGUUUAGCUGGAUCAUUCCUUUCUAACUUCUUCUUUUUGAGUUUUUUCCGUUUCUUUUUCUUCUGGGUCUGCCCAAAAUGCUUUCAAAGUACUGCGCAUCAUCCCAGAUUCUAAAAUGGAAUUAGUAAUUGUAGUACCGAAACUGCAGCCUCCUUUACUUUGAAAAGAGGAAGAGAGGGGGGGGGGGCGGCCAAUUCUGAUUUCAUUUCUGCCUUUUGUAAUAAUUUAUAAUAAUAACCUUUUGGAUUCUUAUUCUUUUAGCUGAGUUCUCCAAGUAUUGUUUUAACAUGCUCAUCUUGUUUCCUUCUCCAGGAGAAUGAAAGGAUGAAUUCUUUGUGAGAUAAAAUCAUUGUAUGGCUAUGCUGUAUGUCGGUUUGGCAGAGGUCACAGCAAAGAUGUCUUCACCUAUUUGGAUCACAUCGCUUUCUUGUUCCGCUUCUGUGGCACAAUCCUCAGAGGAUUCCACAGUUUCAGCCUUUGUUCAAUGGCUAAGGUUCCUUUUCCUGUCUCCCUGUCCUCAGAGAGCUCUGUCAUCUUCCAUUGCCAUUCUGCUGUGGAUAGCUUUCCUUGUUUUUGCAAUACAAAAACUAUGGUCUAGAUUUAGUACCAAACAUGAAUUGAGUUCUAACCUCAGCAAGCCUCUCAUUGAGAGCAGCACACCACCUCUUAGAGCUAACCUUUGGUAUAAGUUGACUCUGAUUGCGACCGUUGUUUUAGCCUUAUCUUCCUUAAUGUUGUGCAUUCUGGCAUUCAAUGGAGGUAACCAGGGCUCAUGGAGGGUUGUCGACGGACUAUUUUGGUUGCUUCAGGCAUUAACCAAUGUAGUGAUCACAGUACUAAUUCUCCAUGAGAAGAGGUUCAAAGCUGUUACUCAUCCAUUAUCUCUUCGGGUUUACUGGAUUGCAAUCUUCAUUAUCCAAGUUUUGUUCGUCACUUCGGCGCUUAUCCGCAUAAUAUCUGCCCGUGAAACUGAUUCAGUCUUGAGACUAGAUGACAUUGUUUCAAUAACUGUAUUUCCUUUCUUGAUUAUUCUUCUGAUUGUUGCCCUCAAGGGGUCUACCGGUAUCCUAGUAAUUAGAUGUUCUGAAUCAAUAAUAAAUGGAGAGACCACAUUAUAUGAACCACUUCAGGAUAAAUCCUCCAAUGUGAGUGGGUUUGCUACAGCAUCUAUUGUAUCAAAAGUUUUUUGGCUCUGGGUUAAUUCUCUUUUGGUAAGAGGCUAUAAAUCCCCUCUAAAGCUUGAUGAUGUCCCAAUUCUCUCACCACAGCAUAGAGCUGAGCGCAUGUCAGAGCUGUUUCAACAGAAGUGGCCUAAACCUGAAGAAAAAUCAAAGCACCCUGUGAGAACUACAUUGUUUCGCUGCUUCUGGAAGGAAGUUACCUUCAUUGCCUUCCUUGCCAUUGUGAGGCUUUGCGUCAUGUAUGUGGGGCCUACACUGAUCGAUCGGUUUGUUGAUUAUACAUCUGGGAAGAGGACCUCAAUUUAUGAAGGAUACUACCUUGUAGUUGUUCUCUUGAUAUCCAAGUUUGUGGAAGUUCUGAGCUCACACCAGUUCAAUUUUAACUCCCAGAAACUUGGGAUGAUGAUACGCUCCACACUCAUUACUUCAUUGUACAAAAAGGGUUUAAGACUUUCAUGCUCAGCAAGACAAGCUCAUGGUGUUGGACAGAUUGUAAACUACAUGGCCGUGGAUGCGCAACAGCUUUCUGAUAUGAUGCUACAACUGCAUGCCUUAUGGUUGAUGCCAUUGCAAGUUACCGUUGCCUUAAGUAUCCUCUAUACUUACCUAGGCAUUUCGACCAUUGUAGCGUUACUUGGACUUGUAUCCAUUAUGGUGUUUGUGGUGUUUGGGACUCGAAGGAAUAACCGGUUCCAGUUCAAUAUCAUGAAAGAUAGGGACUCCAGAAUGAAAGCAACAAAUGAGAUGCUUAACUACAUGAGGGUAAUCAAAUUUCAGGCUUGGGAAGAACAUUUCAACAAAAGAAUUCAAUCUUUCCGUGAAUCAGAGUUUGCAUGGCUAACCAAAUUCUUGUACUCGUUUUGUGCAAAUAUUAUUGUGCUCUGGAGCACACCAGUAUUUGUAGCUACAUUGACAUUUGGAAGUGCGAUCCUGCUGGGGGUUCCACUUGAUGCAGGAACAGUCUUCACUGCUAUCUCACUCUUUAAAAUGUUGCAAGAACCUAUUAGGACCUUUCCACAGUCUAUGAUUUCACUCUCACAGGCAAUGAUAUCACUGGAUAGGUUGGAUAGAUACAUGAUGAGUAAGGAACUGAUGGAUGAUUCAGUGGAGAGGGUAGAAGGUUGUGGAAGUGAGAUUGCUGUGGAGGUGGAAGAUGGAGCUUUUAAUUGGGAUGAAGAAAGCAGGAAAGAAGUAGUAAAGGAUUUGAAUUUUAUGAUCAGCAAAGGCGAGCUUGCAGCGAUUGUUGGGACUGUAGGAUCAGGGAAGUCUUCACUUCUGGCAUCAAUUCUUGGCGAGAUGCAUAAAAUAUCAGGAAAGGUACAUAUUAAAUAUUUUUCAGGGCCUUAUCCCUAUAUCAAAUUGAUUACUUCACAUUUGUCACUGGAAAAGUACUCUUUUUAUUUUUUAUUUUUUAUUGUGCCUUGUGUAUUUAUUUGUCAUUGAAGUAUUGCAACUUUCUGUUCAUUGUAUGGUUAGUAAUCCGAUUGUUGCCUUACACGUAAUUUGUCCAAGUAAUAGACUAUUCAGGGAUUUCACACAUCCUCUUCUUCUCCGCGUCACAGAUUCUCAUUUUGCUGAUACGAUUUAAAUGUCGUAUUGUGUUAUUCAGCAGACAGCAUGAGCACAAAGAGUUUAUCUUUUGGUAUACAUGAGCACAGUGAUUUGUUUUCUCUGGAUGUCUUGCUUGUGCAUCAGAGCUUGGUAACUGGAAGAUUUUGCCUUUUGCUACUUGUGGCCGACAGACUUAAGUUUGCCCAGUUGUUGGCUCAAGUAAUUGGAAACAUUAUGUCUAUUUUUGAAAAUCACAUAUAUUGUAAUUUUUGUCUGUGAAAAAUUGGUUCAAUUUCAACUUCCAAAGAUGUAGGUCCAAAUGAUUCAACCAUCAAACUCUAACCAGAUUACUGCUGAAACAUCAACCAAAUCUUCACAUAAACUUUUUGGGUUGGGGUGUGUAUUUGUCCUCGUUAUUUGAGUCUUUGGGGAUUAUGAUUUAUGUAUUGAAUGAUGGGCUAUUUGUCAUUUUCCAAACCCUAAAGUUCUUAUCCUUGGGAACACCUUUUAGUAUCAUUGGUGAACUACUUCUUAAUAGGGGCAGCCCAUUAUAUUCUUCUUUGUUGGCCACAAGUUGGUUGUAAGGAAAACCUUCCUGAGUGUCAUGCAGGAAAGCUCCUUAUUUUAUAAUGCUAACACAUUUCAUUACAAGCUUACCAACUAUUUGUUGCUGCAGCUCAGGGUUUGUGGUACCACAGCUUUUGUUGCACAAACCUCAUGGAUUCAGAAUGGGACAAUUCAAGAAAAUAUCCUUUUUGGUCUGUCAAUGAACCAAGAGAGAUAUAAGGAAGUUCUUAGGGUUUGUUGUUUGGAGAAGGACUUGGAUAUGAUGGAGUUUGGAGAUCAGACUGAAAUUGGAGAGCGUGGCAUCAAUCUAAGUGGUGGGCAAAAGCAGCGAAUUCAACUUGCCAGGGCUGUUUACCAAGAUUGUGAUAUCUAUCUACUUGAUGAUGUGUUUAGUGCAGUUGAUGCUCAAACUGGUUCUGAAAUAUUCAAGGUGAUAAGAGGUUUGAAAUGAUUUUCAAAAUGGUUGUGAUAUCUAUAUCUUGAAAGUAUUUAAUGCUGUUUUAAGAUGUCCUAUUUCUCCAAUUAUUUGCCAAAUUAGAUGUGACCUGAUGUUUGUAGUAGCUAUAGUCACUGAUAUAAUUUUCUCAGUUUGGUCCACUUCUUCUCCAUUUUCUUGUUAUUACUGUUAAAUGAGAACCAGAACAGAAGCCUGCUACUUGCGAAUGCCCAUUUGUUAAUGAUGUAUGAUGCUUUUGUUGAAAUUUUAUGUUGAUCCCUUGGCUUCAUUCCUUGUAGGCUCCAAUUAACAUGAUUAUUAAGCUUUGAGUGACAUGCUUGUUAGUUGAUACAUAUUGUUCUGCAUUGGCAUUGUGAUUCGUCUUUUUAGUUUCAAUUGAAGUUGUGAUAUUCCAGUAGCCCUUGUUGUUAGUUUGUCAGUUAUUAAAUGCUGUUUAACACUUUCCAGUCUCUCUUGCAGGAAUGUGUUAGAGGAACCCUUAGAGAGAAGACCAUUUUGCUUGUUACACACCAAGUUGACUUCUUACACAAUGUUGAUCUGAUCCUAGUAUGUCCUAUGCUCAUUUAUUCUCCUCCUUUCCUAGGUUGUACAUGUGUAUAUGUGGAUUCUGGCAUCAUAGACUUGACCUCUUAAUAUUGAAACCAGGUUAUGCGAGAUGGGAUGAUUGCUGAAUCCGGAAAUUACGAUGAUCUACUUGAAUCUGGGAAGGAUUUCAAAUCUUUGGUGGCUGCGCAUGAGUCAUCUAUGGAACUUGUUGAGGCAGAAAGCUCCAAGCGCAGGAAAACUUCAGUUGAUCAACCAACAUCUCCUCAAGCAUCUUUUAGUCCUAGACAAGAAAACGAUGACAUGAAAUCUCAAGAACAGACCCAAUCUGAUCGGGGAACUUCUAAACUUAUCAAGGAAGAGGAGAGAGAAACUGGGAAAGUCAGCUUACAUGUUUAUAAACUAUACUGCACUGAAUCUUUAGGGUGGUGGGGUGUGAUUGCAGUGUUACUGAUUUCUGUGUUGUGGCAAGGGUCAUUAAUGGCGGGUGACUACUGGUUGGCUUAUGAAACAUCAGGAAAGCGUGCUAUGUCAUUCAAUCCUUCUGUUUUUAUUGGGAUAUAUGCUAUUAUAGCAGCUGGUUCCUUUGUGCUGAUAUUGAUGAGAAUUUUUUUACUUACAUUCAUGGGGCUUAAGACGUCCCAAAUAUUCUUCAAAGGAAUUCUUCACGGCAUAUUGCACGCUCCAAUGUCAUUUUUUGAUACUACACCUUCUGGAAGAAUUUUAAGCCGGGUAACGUUUUCUGCACUUUCGGGUUGGGUUGUCCAUUUUGGUGCCAAGCUGGAAAAAAUAAAAUCAUGUCCAUAUGUACAUUUAGCUACAUUAGAUUGCAUGGGGAAAAAACUAGAUUAUAUAAAAGAAAUGUUCAAAGUAACUGAACAUGUUUCAAUUACUGGAUUCAUUGAUAUGUUGUUUCAUAAAAUUUUGCAGGCGUCAAAUGAUCAGACUAAUAUUGAUGUAUUUGUCCCACUUUUUACCAACUUUUUCAUUUCCAUGUACAUCACACUAUUUGGGAUCAUCAUCAUCACAUGUCAAAAUGCUUGGCCAACCGUCUUACUAUUGAUUCCACUUGGCUGGCUGAAUUACUGGUUUCGGGUAUGUGCAUCAUUUUUGGAGCUUAAAGGUUAAAUUGUUUCAGUGUAACUAAGACUUUAAACCAUUCUUUGGCAAGAGAUAGAUAAUUAGUGCUAAGACUAAGUUAUUCCUCAUUUGGGUUGCAGGGGUACUAUCUUGCAACAUCACGUGAAUUGACUCGGCUUGACUCUAUUACAAAAGCACCAGUUAUCCAUCACUUCUCGGAAAGUAUAUCUGGAAUUACGACAAUCCGUUGUUUCAGGAAGCAGGAAAGGUUUUGCCAGGAAAACGUUAACCGUGUGAAUUCGAACCUGCGUAUGGACUUCCACAACUAUGGGUGCAAUGAAUGGUUGGGUUUUCGUUUGGAACUCAUGGGGAGCUUCAUCCUUUGCAUUUCUGCAUUGUUUAUGAUCGUGUUGCCGAGCACUAUCAUCAAGCCAGGUGUAUAAUCUACUUAAAUCCUUAUUAAUGACAAAGUACUAGUUUUUUUGGUUAUAUUGAUAUAAAGGCAUGACUCCCGAUUUAUCAGUUCGUGGUAUUAUUACCUGGGAAAAUAAGGUUGUUAAUAGGUUAAAACUGAAGACAUAGUUUUCAUCUUUCUUGACGAAAUAGACUCAUAACUGGUCAACUGGAUUAUUAAACCUUUGAAAUAUCAUAAUAUCUAGUAUAAUCAACCUCUUUUUCUUUUCUGUCAUUUUAAUGGGAUUUCUCAAGUUCAUUAGUAAAGGAAUUUUCAAAGAUCAGGUUACAGAAUUAAUUUCUUCAUAUAAUUCUCAGUUGAUUCCUGUUAUCAUUUGCUGCCUACAAAGUUUAUAAAUGGAUGAUACAACUGGAAAAUAUAAUGUCCCUUCCAGUCAUCAUUCUCCUCUGUCCUUGCUACUGCAAUUAGCUUUUGCAAUAGAGAUGUUACUGAUCUACACUUUGCUGCUCAGAGAACGUGGGGUUAUCUCUCUCUUAUGGAUUGUCCCUCAACAGUGUGCUUUUCUGGGCAAUAUAUGUCAGUUGUGCUUUGGAAAAUAAAAUGGUUUCAGUUGAGAGGAUAAAGCAAUUUACAAAUAUACCAUCAGAAGCAGACUGGAAGAAAGAAGAUUGCCUUCCUUCUCCAGAGUGGCCAAACAAGGGCAAUGUUGAGCUCAUGGACUUACAGGUAGCUCAAUCUGCAUUUCUUCAAGUUUUUAUGAUGAAUAGCUGCUUCAUUAAUAUGGUAUUCUGUAAGUUUCCAGAGAUUCAUUUGUAUGUAUUCUGAACAGGUAAGAUAUCGUACAAAUACCCCUCUGGUUAUCAAAGGAAUAACACUCAGCAUAAAAGGGGGUGAGAAGAUUGGUGUUGUUGGUCGAACUGGGGGUGGAAAAUCAACUUUGAUCCAGGUUUUCUUUAGGUUGGUGGAGCCUUCAGGAGGAAGAAUCAUUAUUGAUGGCAUUGACAUUAGCACUCUUGGGCUGCAUGAUCUUAGGUCUCGAUUUGGAAUCAUCCCUCAAGAACCUGUUCUUUUUGAAGGAACUGUGAGAAGCAACAUUGAUCCAAUUGGACAGUAUUCUGAUGAAGAGAUAUGGAAGGUAAAGAGAACUAUUACUGUUAGUAGUUGAGUUUGGACCUCAAGCUAAAUAGAUUUCCCCCAGCAUGUGCCAUGGUUUUAACAUUUUCUAGUAUGCAGCAUCUGUCGACUGUGGUUACUUCACUUUUUUAAUGUGUGAUUUUGUGAUUCUGUUCCAUACAUAGAAACCAUGCUUGCCGAGAUUGGUUGUAGCGUCUUAGUUCUUCUGUUUUUUUAUAGUUAAUACUCACGGAUCCGUGAACUUAUGAACCACAGAGCCUUGAGCGCUGCCAACUUAAGGAGGUAGUAGCUGCAAAGCCCGAUAAGCUGGACUCUUUAGGUACUGUAGUGUAAUUCUGAUCAGUUGCUUCUAUUUUGUUCUCAGUUGCUGUUAUUAGUUAUCAAUGCUACCACUGAAAGAAUACGAAUUUUCACUGGUUAAUGUUUUUAGUUGUUGAUAAUGGAGAAAAUUGGAGUGUCGGGCAGAGACAGCUUCUCUGUUUGGGACGUGUAAUGCUAAAACGCAGCAAACUUUUAUUUAUGGAUGAGGCGACUGCCUCAGUUGAUUCACAAACAGAUGGCGUGAUCCAGAAGAUCAUCAGGGAGGACUUCUCUUCCCGUACAAUUAUAAGCAUUGCCCAUAGAAUUCCAACAGUUAUGGACUGUGAUAGAGUUCUUGUAAUUGAUGCAGGUUUGUGGCUCUCCCACCCCGUAGUUCAGCCAUGCUUCAUCACAUACUGACAUUAGCGGACCUAGUACCAUUCUGAAGUCAAGCAUCUUUGUUUUCAUUUAUUUUUCGUUUCUUAUUUCUUGAGCAAAUAAUUCCUCUGAGAACAAGUAGACUGUCAAAAUGUCGCCAUUUUGGCCUACCUUUGAUCUGUUCCUGAUUGCAUGCAGCAGAUUACCUAAAUUAAUCAUGCGCUUUUUUCCUAUGAUUCUGUUGCGCUCUGACUUUGCCUGAUCUGGGUUUAUUCUUCAUGAUUGCACCUAAUAGAGAUUUCCUGCUUUCACCGAAGCUCGGUGAAAUGAUUAUUGUUUUUCUUUUUGUGCAUUGAACAGGUAAAGCAAAGGAAUUUGACAAGCCAUCGAGUUUGCUGGAGAAGCCUUCUCUCUUUGGAGCAUUGGUUGAGGAGUAUGCCAACCGAUCUUCUGAACUCUAGCUCUGAUUCUAGCAUUCUUGGAAUGGGCUGAAGAUUGAUUCUUGUUGGUUGAACUAUAUUUUCCACAACUUCGUCUUACAUGUUAGGAAGCAUACGGGCUAUUCAAAUGUUAAGAUUUGUCAAUAGAGGACGCGGUACGGUAGUUGCAUUAUCCACACCACAAUUGAUGAGCAGCCAGAAACCAAAACCAGUUCUUGAAGUGAAGCUGAUGGACGCGGUAUCAGCUGCCAUGAAUCAAGUUCCUUUGCGGCAAAUAUCCUGAAUUCAUUAGUUGAUCCUCGUACGGGAAAGUUGAUCUCCUGCUCUCUGCAAGGAUCAUUAAGAACUCGAAGCAUUUCAGCACUCGUCAUCUAUAGCUUAUUUUAUUGUAUUUUAUUUCUGAACGUCCUUAUGAUAGGUUCUUCCACAUUGCUUUCAAGGAUUUAUCGAAUUAUCAGGACCAUCUAAGAAUCUGGCUAAAGUCCUAGUGUACAUUCAGAUGCUUGAAUUUUAUCCAUAUUUUGUAUAUGAUUAUUCUUAAAUCAUAUAAAUUAUUAUUAUUAGUAUCCUUGACUACUUUUAUCUUUUUUAAUAAAUAUAAGUUAUUUUUAUUUAUAUGGAGUUAUUUUAUUUAGUUAAUUAUAAUUAAUGUUGCUAGAAACAGAAUAUUCAUUCAUAACAAAAUCAAAAUAUAUUAAUUUUUAGGAAAAAUUUCAGAAACCUCCUUUGAGGUUUUUAACAAUUUCAUUUAGCUUUCUCAACAUUUUAAAAAUCACACAUAUCGCCGUAUAAUUUAAAAUGACAAUACUAUCCUUAAAUAUUUUAAUGAAAUUUCCUUGUUUGGUGUGCUUAUAUUUAGAAUGACUUUUAAAAUUAUAUUUCAUUCAUUUUCCUUCUUGUGCCUUUUAUUUAUUCAAUGUUUUUGCUUAUCUUUAUUUUCUAUUUUUUGGUAUUAAAAUUAACAAUAAAUAAAUAAGAAAUGAUCCAAAAUUACUACGAAAUUAUGAUAAUUUGACUACUCGAAAAAUUUAUAAACUCUAAAUGAAUUAUUUCAACAUUUUCUUUUAUACCUUAUAAAUCUAAAUUCAUAAUAAAAUAACAUCAAAAGUAUCCUAUUAUAGUGAUAAAAUUAUUAUUAUAGUUGUUUAUUAAACAGUAAGUAUGGACAUGAAAAUUUUGGUACCUUUUCCUUAUAAUUAUAUUAGAUAAUCUUAUAAUUGUAUAGAAAAAUAAAUUAAAACUCAUUACACAAGGGUAUUUUUAGGUAUUCAUUUAAAAAUUUGACCAAAUCAAUAUUAUUUUAAGGUUUUGUUACAAAAACUAUCAAAUCAAUGGAGGUAGGUAUAAUUCUUCAAAUUUGAGGGGAGCUCAAUGAAAUUGUUAGAAAUCUCAGGAGAGGUUUCUGAAAUUAUCUCAUAUUUUUAAAAUAACUAUUAAUUAAUUUUUUUUUUCAUGAAUUAUUCUGCUUGCUCAACUUCAACAACUAAUCAAAACUUUUCUUUAAAAAAAAAAAAUUCAUUGCAAUCAGGUGGAAACAGCGAAGUACGAACAAACAGAAAAUUUGAGUCGUGACUGUUAAAAACAUAAAAAUAAAAAAGAGAACGACGAGUUAAAUUAGACCGUCUCCCCUCUUACCCCUAAAACCCUACUAAAACCCCCCACAUCCGUUUUCCAAGCUUCCCGAGAGAGAGAGAGAGAGAGAGAGAGAGAGAAUAGAGGACGAUGGGGAGGUCGCGAAGGAAGUACAGGAGGUCAAGGCCGAAGGUGCGGGUCGGGUUGCCAAAGAAACACCCUAACGUAUUCAAGCCGGCCUUCAAUCUUCCCCCGAAGCUCCGAACUCUGUUGGAUCCCCACUCUUCCAAGUGGGACGACACAGCUAGCGUCAUCCACAAUUACAAGUCAUUCGGCGUCGUUUCUAACCCCAACCUGCUCAGCGUACGCUCUCGCACCUCCCACAUCAUAGAAACCGAUUCUCUUCAGGUCCCACCGCCGCCUCCAUCCGACGACUCCAACGCCUUCGAUUCCGGGAGCGAUCUCGAAGAGGAUGGUCAGUUUUAUUUUAAUCUUUAUUUUUGGAUUGAAUACUGAAUGCAUUUUUGCCUUCAUUUUCAAGGUAGUUUCAUUUUUUUAAAUUAUUAUUUUUAAAUAGAUUUUGGGUCAGUUUCUCCUUUGCUUAAACAUACAGUUUAGCUCAUGUUUAAAUUGCAAUAAUGAGAUGUGAACAUUGAGGUGCAUUUCGAAAAGGAUUUUGGAUCUUAUAUACUGCUGUGAAAAAAUACCAAUGCCAGGUUAAUUGUUUAAUUAGUUUCUUCUAGAAUUGUUUAAAACUCCAGCAAAUGGGAAGCUGGCCCCGCGCCCGCCCCCACCCACCAAAAAAAGAAUUUUGUUAAUUUGGUCGUAGCUUGAACUUUGCAGGCGGAUCGUUUUAAUAGGUUUCAUUCUUUCAUUUUCUUCUUGUGGCGAAAAAACAUAUGCUUUGAGUUUUUCCUCUUUUUUUUUUUCAACAUAAAAAGCUGCUCAUUGCCAUAAACAUAGGUUUUUUUUUAAACAUAUGCAAAAACAUAUCUGUUUGGAUCCUUCAGUUUUUCAAAUACUAUAAAAAUUUUUAAAAAGUGCUCUAAAAGGUACUCUAAAAGUAGUUUAAAUUUUUUUAUGUUUAAAAAAUAUCCCAAAAUAUAUCUUAAAAACUCUACUACUCUUAAAUAUUCCAAAAUAUUUUCUAAAAAUAUCCCAAAAUAUACUCUAAAAAGUCCGCUACAGUAAAAUUUUUCAACAACACCCUAAAAAACAGCUAAUCCAAACAUAGAGAUACUUUCUUCCCCUUCCUUGUGACAUCAACUGUGUAAAGCCUUGAAUUAUGCAGUUUUUAUUUGAGAAUGUACCCCUCACCUCUAUGUAAGUAUUGCUGACAUGAUAGGUUGGAAAAUUCCUAGAUUUAAAGACAGCACUUGGGAAGAAGCGCAGUGAUGGGAAAAGUGCACCAUUGCAACCUCUAACUACCAUGCAGCGCUAUCACAUUGGGCGACUUAUAGAUGAAUAUGGGGAGGACUAUGAGGUGAGAAUUGCAAAUGUUACAGAUACCUAUCAAUUUUGUUAUUUGUUUCUUUGUGCUAAUUAGAUUUCUUGCUCUACAGAGCAUGUUCAAGGAUACAAAACUAAACAAGAUGCAGCAUUCAGUAGCAACGCUAAAGAACUUGUGCAGAAGAUAUCACACCUGUCAAGGGAAAAAUCCUUUAAUUAAGAAGUAAGAAGGGAACAAUUGAAGUUUGCUACAGAAUACCAGUAGCUUUUGCUGCCAGGGGAUGCACAUUGAUUUGUUUUUGACUGAAAAUGCCAGCACCCCUACUGUUGGAUGUUUGCAAUACAUAAAUGAUUAGCUUACUGAGUAGAAGAUGAAUCUUUUUAACGACUGAUCUACUAAAAAAUUUCUUUCACUUCUUGAUAUCCCUUAUCCUUCUUUUCCAUUUGCUUCUCCUUUUUGGUAUGUUUUGGGGUGUUUGUGGACCAUGCUUUUCCUAAGGUUUUUUUUCCUUUUGUAUUUUUUGGGUGAGACUUUAAUGACAGAAUUUCGCUUUAGAGACUCAGAUGAAGAGGGGUUUUUUAUUUGUACGAUACCAAUGAACCUAAUUGCAGGGGGGCACUCUAAUUUUUUUUUAUUUUUUUUCUUUGCCAAAAGCAUGUUAUUACAAAAGGACGAUACAGAACGAGUAAUAGGCCUCCAAAAUUCACCUGAUAACGCGGCCACCGGUUAUUUUGGAGCUCAGGUUAGCCUUGUUCAAAAGCCAACUUAUUUAUGUACAGGUUAUUUUGGUUUCGCUCAGAAAUCUCGGAGAAGACAACAGUUCCAAUCCCAGAGAAACCCAUAGAUUCCCUUAUACAUGCAUAGCAAAUCAAGGACAAUUAAAGCUGCGAUUCUUGUUAUAUACCCAUGAAUGCUCGACACUGUGAUUCCCAGUGCUCCUUGGCUUGUCUAAUUCUUUCGGCUCGUUCAGACUGUAGUCGCGCCGCCCAGUACUCCGGACAACUGUUCAAGUAUGCAUUUUUUUUUUUAGUACGAACUAAAGUAAUGAAUAAAUGCCAACUCACAACACUCGUCAUGAAAUCUACCAAGUGCAUAAGUUUAAGACCACACCUUUGGCUUAAUAGAAUGUUUAGCUCCUCCAAAUGCACUGCACCUUCAUAAACUCCUGCCUACAAUUGCAACUCUGACAGUUAUAGAAUGGAUGACAACAUGCAAUAUGAAUCUCAAGGGACAUUAUUGGUCUUUUAACUCACAAUUAUAAUUCAAUAAUUCGGGAUAAGAAGGAAAUUGUAAUCAAUGAAUCAUAUGACACAACAAAAUAGUUCCCUAGGCUUUUCACCAUAGUAUACACACCACCUCAGCAUAUACCACAUAAAUUUUGUUGAAAUGUCAGAAGAAGCAGGAAGUUAACCGUCAUUCCUUAAUUUAUAUGACCAAAAAGAGUUUGAGGAAAAUCAGCAACAAGGGCUGAUGCAUGCGUAUGAGAAUAUGCAAUAAUAAACACAGGUGCUACAGCAAGUGAGCUAAUACAGUUUUAAACUACUUAUUUUUCUUGAACCAUAUGAUAGUUCAUUUUCAUCCAACUGUUACAAUCUUUAAACACAGCCGUAUGCCCACAACAUUGCAAGGUGAAGUACAACCAUUUUAAUUUUGAAUGGUCAACCAAUUGAUCUGAUAACCGUCCAGAGUAAUAAAUUUGGAGGUUUUGUUGAAUGUUGUAAAAUUCCUUCUUUAGCUCCAUGGAGAAUGGUGUCCGAAAAAUUUCAAACCUAGAUGGAUUGCUCAAACAAAAAAUUAUUCGCCAAUGGAAAGAAUAAACAGACCUGAUGUCAAGUUCAUGUGGAGAUAAACAUCGACAAGUUUGUUUGACCUAAAAUUGUGAGAAGUUUGAUGGUUCUUAAGAUUCAGUUGGAAUGUACAAAACCAGUCUGAUGGCCAGACAAGGAUAUGCAAAUAUAAGACUUUCUGGUAGACUUGAAUAAUCCAUUGAGCAGCACACAAAUUCGUUCACUUGAUGUUAAAUCUAUGGAACAGAUGAAAAAGUGUUUAGUGAAACAUUUUCAAUAGAUUCCAGCCUGCUGACUACAUGACCAAAAGCAGGACAGAUUGGUAGGGAAGAACUUAAAAGUGAAGACUUCUAAGUAUUUACCUCUCUGCAAAGGGGGCACUUUUCCUUGGGACUAGCUGCCUUUAAUCCAUCCACUAUGGUCACUGAUCCUGCCUUGCAAGCACACAUGUAGCAGAAUAUAUGACCGCAAGUCAAAGACACUGGAUCAAAAACUGUAUCCUGUUGGAGAAGAGCAGCUAAUAAAAAGCUCAACAUUAUGAAAAGAGUAGCUAAUCUGAUAUGAUGAAUUUUACAAUAUUGAUAAGACUUAAGGUUGAGUUUCUUCACAAGAAUUAUCAGCAAGAAUCAAAUAUCAAUAAGAAAAAGCAUAAGAUAGUUACUCGUGUUAAUGAAAUAGCUGGCACGCUUAUACGAGAUAAUAAAGAAACUAACCAAGCAUAUCGAACAAGUCAAGUCCAGUUCAAGCUUGACUGAAUCAAAGAGCUCACAAGAAAGAGAAGGCUUUUCAUCUUUAAAUAUGAGGGAACAGCCGUUGAACAAUGCAGGAGCAUUCCUUGUAUUGGCCUUUGUCUCUUGCGAAUUUAUGUGAAAGGCCAUCAGCUCACAUAGCCAUGGUGAUUGGAGAAUCUCAAGGUUCCUACUGUGCGCUUGAGACUUAAAUACUUGGCCUUGCUUGGAGUAGUGUAUCUGUAGAAAAAAUCAACAACUGGUAAAUCCAAAAUUCUUGUGCAUUAACUUGAGAAUAUCAUACUCAUGCUCUAUUAAAAGUAAACCUUAUCAUAUUUCUUCAGUAUCUUACGCAAGGCAAUGGCAUUAAUCAGUGCGUAAGUGACCAACUCCUUGCCUUCUUCAAUCAGUGCGAUAUGGUUGCCUUGUAUUUUGUCUUUAAACCAAAUAAAACACUUACGGAAACCCGAUGCCAAAUGGAGCUCAAGCAACCUCUGGGCUUUCUCGUUGAAGAAGCCAACAACUUCUGACAUUUCCUUCAGAAGCGAAGGGAAAAACGUGCCAUCACACACUGCGGAGCACAAAAUACCCUCAUUUAGAUGAAUCCUAAUCAAGAGAAGAGUUUAUACUUGAAGGGUUCAAUGCUUAUACUGAUUUGUCUAUGCAAAAGUGAAAACAGGAAUAAAAGCAUCAUUUCCUGCCACACCAAGAUGUAUGGUGCCUUUUUUUUUUCUGGGGGUUUUCCUGCUACAUGGUAAACAUAUUAAUGAUUCCCCCCAACCCCCCUCAAUUCAAAUAGCCUAUCUCUUCAGUUACAAGGUCUUAACUAUCGUUCAAUCAAGGUGGAUUUUUAGAUAGUCAGGACGUAGAAAUUGAUCAGAAUAAGAAAUUCAAAAUUCUUAUCCAGAUCCUUCGGCAUCAAGAAAAACUCGUAGAUCUUUUAAAUGCAUCAUUCUCCCAUCUCUACCAAUAUGUAAAGUCUUUCCUAAUACCAAGACAAACGAAAAGGUAUUACCAGUGUUCUUGUAUUGUACAAGUACUCACCGUAAUUAGGAGGUGAUGAAAGGUAACCAAUGAUAACAAAAACAAAGAGAAAACGUACGUUGAAAAGCCAAUUCAGAAAUAGAACAACCCAAAAAUUCAUCCCAAUUCAACGCAGGACGUAGGAAUCUGCAACCCAAUCACACCUUAUCUCGGUGUCGAGUAAUAAUUACAAUAUCAUUUGUAACCGACGGAAUGUGUGAAAUCCAAUAAUCAGAAACUAAUAGUACUAGUUAUGAAUAGAAGCUCUAAGCACCUGGGCAAGAGUCCGGGCAAGAGGAGGGUCUACCGCAGAGGUUAGAAUCUCCGAAAUGAUCAGGAACAAGGGCAGUGUUAUCACGGGAUUGAAGGUGUCGUCGACACCUUUUCAAGAUUUUCUUGAGAUUCUUGAAACCAACCCCAGGCAAUUUCUUCCUCUGGCAUUGUCCUUGCAUGUAUUCCUCGUACUUCUUGCAGAACUUCAUCUUCAACCUCGCCUCACCUCCUUGCUUUUCCAAUUCCUAAUAGGCUAAUACUAAUGAUAUGGUGAUAAAACGCGGCGUAGAAUUUAAAAUUUCUUAUAGGACCGAGGUUUUCUUUGUCCUGUUCAGAUAACUUAAAAACCCUUAACCUUUUGGUUAGAAAUUUGCUACUCAACCCCUUUCUAAUACUAAUGUGCGAAUGCCAAUUCUGAGUAGUUUAGGUUCUGAAAACAAUACUGGGCUGCUGCUACUGCAACUAUCCAAUCCAGGAGUCUCCUCUCUCCACUGGACGGCCCUCUCUGUUCUCUCUCUAUAUUCCCGAAACUACGGUUUUCGACGACACCUGAAGCCAAAUUAACCCAGCGUAACCCGGUCCGUCCGAGAAAAUAAGGGAAAGCUUUACCACAAAAGUGGCGAAUUAAGAAAGGGGUAAAAAAAUAUAAGAAAAAGUCAAUUUACCGCUAACCUUUUCACAAGUCUCGCGGAUUACUACGUUGGAGUGCCACCUGAUGAAUAAGUUAUUUGGUAGAUAUGACCGAUGCAAUACAUUUAAAUUUGCGACAUAGUUCAGGACGUAUAUUGUGAUAUUUAUUAAAAAUUUUGAAAUAAAUGAAGAGGUAAAUAUGUUUUUUACCAAUUCAAAAUUGCACAUCGCUGGCCACGCAGACACGUAUAUCCAUUCAAUGCAGCCCAACUAUGCGAUUUCUGACGCAGACGCCAAAAAUUAGAAAAAAUCACAAAAAAGUUCCAUCACCAACUAAAAUAAAAAACCACCGGCUCAGUCGCGUUCCUCGUUGGAUUAUAGGUAAGCGUUCGAAUCUCAUUUGUAACGAAAAAAAUUUAAGAGUUGUACCAUAGUACUUUCUUGAUCUAGUUGGGUCUGUAUACCCACUAGCCCCUACAACAGCCUCCUUAGGCUCCCCUACUCCUAGAUUAGGAUAGAGUAGGUUAUACAAAUGUAUUAUUACGAAUAAAAAAAAUUAAUACAUACACACAUAUAUAUAUAUAUAUAUGCGCCCACGCCGGUCCGGGAUAAGCCAGAAGCUUCCUGGUUUGCUUAAAUUCCUUCCUGAGUUGGGUCGCACUCGCACCCAAAAGAAAUUCCGGCACUUGGCCCCUAAUCUCACGGGGAAAUAAAAAGUCAAAAAGGGUUAAACUUAAAAGAUAAGUACGCAAUCUACUACUAUUCUUGCACACGCAAGUUCACAAACUAUUCAUUUUAGUUUAGAAUUAAUUUUAUAUAUAUUGACAAUAUAUACACUUUCACCGUUAAAUAUAUGAUAUAUAGUUCAAAUUUUACAUAUGCGUUAUCCAUUCAAUCGUGACAGUACAUACACUGUCAAUGUACAUAAAAUUAAUCCUAAAAUAAGACAGAGUAGUUUGUGAACUUGAGUCGGCUAGAAGGCAGAACAAAAUGCCAUUCACUGAACUUAACCUGGAUUGGCUAAAACUACUCUGUUUCUAUUUUCUACUUCUUCCGAGUCUAGUGCGUAUGAGAUACUACUAUAUUCGGUCGGCCGGCUUCAACUUAAACGGCUCAAAUCACAUUUCUCAUUUGGGGGAGACACAGCAUUCUUAACCUCUCUGUUAAGGCAUUUAAUUAAAAAAAAAAAAAAAAAAAAAAAAACCAAUACACGCGUGAUGAUAUCAAACCAAUAUAUGCUUAUUUAAAUUGUUUUAAUAUCUGAAGUGAUUAGGAGUCAAUAUCAGGAGUCUAGACACUGGGUUGAAUGAAUCAAAGGUCAAUGCUUCACCAAUUCCACAAGAAGUUACCCCGCUUUCUUAUUAUUUGUACGAUGAUGCGUUUUGGCGGAGAUGAUAGUAGUAAUUAAUUAGCGGUGUCAUCAUGAUCAUGCUGCCAUUAACAAUUGUUUAUACAUACAAUUUAAAUAGAAUGCAAAACGGCGACUUCGUUACAGUAGAUUGUAGACGGAUGCAUUACUUAACCAACCAACAUGUAGUAGCGGUCAUGCAUUAAAUGUCAAUCACGCAAUUUAUUGCCGUGAUCAUCACCAUCAUGACCUGGCUUGGUGGUGGUGGUGGAAUUCUGCUCUGGAGGCUUGCUUUUGUUCGGAUUGUAUUUUUUAUUUUUUUUUAUAAAAAAUUUAUCGUAAUAAUUUGCUAUAUAUAAAAUUAAAAAAAAUCUGUUCACGAAAAAUGUAACAAUUUUUCUUUGGAAACAAAUUCGGCUUCAUAGAGAGGGAAUAACGUAACAAUUAAUUAAUUGUGAAAGCUCGUAGAGAAAACGAAUUCGACUUCGUCAUCGUGGCUACAGAAAAGAAAAUACACCAAAUUGCUGCUCCACUUGACCUUGAGAGAGAGGGGGAUUGGUUUACACUUUUGCACAUCAAAGAUCAACCCACCAUAGUGGGAUUGAUGUCCAAUAUUCCUUGCCAUUCAUUCUUCUUGGCUCUUUUUCUUUAUUCAUUCGGCAUUCAUGCAUCGAAGGUGAAUGGUCACGGAAUUCAUCCACCACCACAAACCCUUUAAUCAAUACCUUUGCUUAUGACCACUUUUUCUUUCUUUCAACUUUUUUUUUUUUUUUUUUGCCUUUUAACCUGAUUAAUCACGGAGAUGAGCCCCUCGAGCAGAUUUUGAGAACCUUGGAAAUUGAUUACUAUUUGACUAGUGAUCCUAUUAUAGAACCUGGAAAUGGAUUUUUUAUUUUUUAGGUUAUUUGGUGGUCGAAUCGAAGACAUAAUAAUUACAUAGUAGUCAUGGAUUUUGAUGAGCUAGAAAUUGAUUGGUGGGCCUUUUAGACGGAGACGUAACAUUCAAACUGGGCCAGUAUAUGGUCCGGUGGGCAUCACCUGUAGCAUCAGCAGGUCGUGGAAAUGCACCCUUCCUUCUCAGCUCACAGGCGGGCCUAUUUUAACUGGAUAGGCCUAAGGUAAAUAAGUCAUCUACACAAAUCUGAUUUUGUUUUUGGGUUUUUAAAUGGACUUGAACAAUACCUUGAUACCCAACACCUCAAAACCCAUAUUAUGGAAAAGGCAUUGGCAGACAAAUCUGACAAAGUACAAUAGAUGCGGCGGCAUCCCAACUAUGGACUACUGAGCAGUGAAUAUAUCUGAUUUAAAGGCUUUGAAAUGAAGGCUUGAGAACCUUCGUGGCCUUUCCAGCCAAAACAUUAUGGAAUGGCGUGCACAUGCGUUAUUCCGAUUCCAAUUCCAAUUCCACCAAGCAAAAUUAUUAAUUGUAACCUCUCAGUCAUUUAAAACUAAGGCCCAUGUCAGUCCAAGUGUACAAUACUCUUCAACGAACCCGGUCCUAACAACCUCUGUUCUGUCCGUCCGGGAGUUGACUGUUGUGCUCAGACGAAGACGAAGAAACAAAGAAAAUAAGUACAGAUCAUGGCGACGGGGGAGAAGUCGGUGAUGGUGGUCGGAAUCGACGACAGCGAGCACAGCUUCUAUGCCUUGCAGUGGACAUUGGAUCACUUCUUUACUCCUUCACCAGCAGUCUCUCCAUUCAGGCUCGUCAUCGUCCAUGCCAAGCCUACUCCUUCUUCUGCCAUCGGCCUCGCCGGCCCUGGUACCUCUACCUCUACCUACCCACCUUAAUUUUUACUUCUAGCGUUUAUUUUCACAACAACAAUCUACAAGAUUACAUAGGGACUUGGGAGUUUGUCUGCCUUGAUUCUUUCGAGGGACCUCUUAUAUAUAUAUAUAUAUAUUUAUUUAUUUUAAUUUGUGAUUCUUAUUAGUAUCAUUAUGUAAAAUGAUCAGGUGCGGCUGAUGUGUUGCCGUACGUGGAUGUGGAUUUAAAGAAGAUAGCGGCCAGAGUUCUGGAGAGUGCCAAGGAGAUUUGUUCUGCUAAAUCGGUAUUUGUUAAUUUCUUUUUCUGUUUCUAAUUCAUUCUUUUAUAGCCUUUUUGUUUUUGCUGUUAUUAGGACUCGUAGCUCAGUUUUUGUGCUCUGAUUCACGGCACAGAUAUCUUAACCCAAUUUAUCUUCUUCGCCUCUUUACCAUACAAUCUUCCAAUAAGAAGAUUCCCACUUAAAAAGCUACGCCUACUAGUAGAAGGUAUAGUAUGUUGUCAUUCACUGGUAAAAGGUACACCGCAAUCCCGUAGCCCAGAGUAAUGCGUCCAGCGUAGCCAGUUCAAAAUCGUCUCGAAACAAAGCCAAUUUUGAAAAACAAAAUAGAGAUAAGAGAGAGAUGAAAAUUUGUACUAUUUUGACAUUUGCAGGUGAAUGAUGUAGCUGUGGAAGCUGUCGAAGGUGAUGCCAGGAACGUUCUUUGUGAAGCUGUGGAGAAACACCAUGCCUCUAUCUUGGUCCUUGGCAGUCAUGGUUACGGAGCUAUAAAGAGGUAUUGGUUCCACCCCAUUAACUCUUUUUUGUUGUAGCUUGGCUUAACUUGCUGCUACAGCAGAGAUGCGGUUAUGACAUUUUCGUGCUAUCUUCUGCAGGGCUGUUUUGGGCAGCGUGAGUGAUUACUGUGUUCAUCACGCCCACUGCACCGUGAUGAUUGUGAAAAAGCCGAAAAUCAAACACUAAGGCUGCUUCAUCUAAUACUAAGUAGUACUACAUCUUAGUUCUUACCAUAUAAAUAAUGUGCAAUCCAAACACCACUACUGUACUGUAAUUUCAGGAGCCUCUGCGUUCCCUGAUCAUUGUUUCCAAAUUAUACUCUCAAUAGUCUGUACUCUUGUUUGAGAUGAUCUGCGCGCAUAGACGUGCCUUGUUAUACGAUGAUUUUGCUUGUGCAUCUUUGCUACAGUUUUGUUUAAAUCUUAACAGAAGGCAUCAUAUGCACUGUUUCUAAGGGAUCCUACGCGGGUGCUUCGAAUUACUACACCCACGUUAUUGAUUCGAGACAACUACGCAGAUUGCAGAGCCAGAAACCAUGCCGGAAGAAUUGAGACAAGGAUUUUCUGUUACCAUUUGAAGAACCAAGGGUUCCGUUUGUCAAAACUUAUGACCCAACUUACAAUCCUCUGGCCGGGAAGGACCACGAGAAAGGGGAAAUACCGUGUUUGAAUUGAACCUUUUCUGGAUAGAGAUCGGAGGAGCGGAUCAAAAAAAUUGGUGAAGGAAGCAGGAAAACCUAGCAUCCCAGCAGAACAAGUAUAAAUAUGCUCAAUUGUAUAAUCCUUAUCAGUUGAGCUGGAGAAAAAAUCUACACUCCCAGCAUACAUGCUAGUACACUUGAUAUCGUCAUCAUAAUGCAUAGCUCCAAAACCAAUUAAGUCGCGAUUAGGACAGCUGCGCAGAGCCAUCUUAUGAACAAUCAUGCCUUUGUCUUGUGCUCAAAUUAAUAAUGGAGGAGCAUAAACUCGGGACAGGAACAUGCUGUUGAUUAGAACAGCCGUGCAGAGCAAUUACAUUGUAGAAGAAUAACUAAACAAGGAGAGUCAGUGAAGGAAGAUUAUACUGCUAUCUACCAAGAGGAUUUGGCUGUGGAUGAAACAAAAUGUUGAUGUUCAGCUUCGAUUACCUCAUUGGGACUGAUGCUUCUUCCCCUGAGGAAAUUGGAAUACCAGUGUGCGGAGAGCUUUGGGUAUCUUUUCAAUUGCUUGUCACUCAAAUCCACAAAGUACAUUCCAAAACCCUUCUGAUAGCCACCCACCACCUCAAAACCGUCUAAGAAUGACCACAUGAAGUACCCUUUUGAGUUUGCUCCAUUCCUUCCAAUAUUUUGAAGAUGAAAGACCAGAAAAAGGCUAUCAUUGAAACUUCAAAAAGGCCCAAAAGUUAUUCUUUGAUAGACUUGCAGUGACUUGAAUUAAGCUCCUUAAUAGAAUGUGCACAACUUUGAUAAAUUUCUUUUGGACAAUAGCUUGGAAACAUUUUGCACGAUAUUAAAGUUUCGAAAUUGAGUGGGAGGAUUUAUUCAUAGGGAUAACACUAGACAGAUCAAGAUCAAGUAGCACUGCCCCUUAACUUAAAAUUGCGGUGCUUACCUUAAAGCACGAAGCAAAGUGCCGAUAUAUGCGUGCAUGUAUUCCACCCUUGCCGUGUCAUUAAGUGUUCCAUUACGAACCGUCCGUUGACCUUGCAAAAGGAGUCAUGAAAAGAAAUUCUCAUAAUUUUCCUGUUGGCAUCCAAAAAUAAAAUAAAAAAUACACCGCACAGCAGAAGCUAUUUCAACACGAAUAAAUAUGUGGAAAGAGGAGGAAAAUAAACACACAUUAAAUAUUUAAUAAAUUUAUUAAUUCAAAACUCAACAAUAACAAUAUCAAAUCAUAGUUUUUUUUGCUUAUGACAACUCACAACUCUUCAACUUAGAAGCUUUCUCUCUAUCUCACAACUUGAGUCAACUCAACUUUUCAAGUAACAAUGUACUAAACUAAUAGUAUUUAUAGAUUGUAGAACUUAAUAAACAAAAACAAUUCCAAAUAGAGACUUACUUGGAACUGAUUUGAGAUUUCAUAACCUAAUAUGAAAACUAAACAAACAGAACACCAAAACAAGAAACUAAACUAAUUAGGAAAUAAACAAAUAGAAUAGUUUAGUUUACUUCCAUGAUUUUCCAACAUCUGAUUUUCUAAUAUCAGAGCAAAGAAGUAAAGAGAAAGAGACAUUAGCUAGGUAGGUGUAAACAUCUACCAAAAAAACAUUUGAGUGUACAUACUUUUAGGUACUGAAAUUUACAGAGUAAACAUGCUGCAUAGAUAUUUCCAUAUGUCGAACAAAUCCACUGGGUAAAAAGAAAUUCUAAAGCAAUAGGCAUAAAUAGGCUUGCACAUAUCUUGGUUAAGCAAUCAUCCUUUUUUUGUUCUUUGGUCCAAUAACAAUUCACCAAAUAACUCUUAUCUGAGGCAAGCACUUGAAGGAAUCAGAACAAGCUCUUUGUAGAGAUUAAUCAUACACGCAGCAAACUAACAGGACAAAUGGGCUGCAGAGCAACAGAUGUCUUUAUAUCCAUGUACAGAGAGAGAGAGAGAGAACCAUUUUCAUGGACGUAAGUAGGUGGGUUUGCAUAAACUCUCUUGAUGUAUUCCAGAACCUCAUAAAGACCAGAUGAUGUCUCAUUAUCCUGUGGCAAAAAAGAUGGUUAACAAACAAGAGUGGAAUAAUAAAAAAAGAUAUGAAACUAAUUAUUAAGCCCAACCUGAUCUAGUGAUGAAUCACCCCGCUCAUCUACAAUACCCAAAAAAUAGAUGAUAGCAAUUAGUUGUAUUCAAUCAUAAAUAUCUGUAGCAUCAUAAAAAGUCAAUAGAGCAAAGACAUAGAUUUUUAAAAAGAGAACACUAAGACUAAAUCAUCCAAGAAUAGAAUAAGAUAAACAGAGGACAGAACAAGGGUGUGGCGGAAGGAUGGGAGUAGUUGAGCCACUUGGCAAAGUCAGAUUCAAUGAGUCAAAAGUCAAGCUCACAGCGAACGCAAGAUGCGUACACAUGAUGGUUGCGGCAAUAUCAGUGUUGACAUCCCUGAUCUCCAUUUUAUGGCUACUAGGGUCGUCCUUGAUGUAGAAUGUUGCAUAAUGGUUUAGCCCUAUAAAAUCAAAAGAGCCCUUAACUAACUCAAAAUCAUGUCGAGUGAGGGCUGGAAUCCUUGUUCCAGCAUUCUUCUUCAUUAUGUCAGGAUAGUCUCCAAACACCAAUGGAUGGAGAAACCUGCAAAGGGAAUUGUAAUGACCACCAUUUUAAGCAGCAAAGUAGCGAAAAACAGCUUUGAACUUCCUAGAGAUGAAGAAAUAUGUAUUAAGGGCUCUCUGCCAAGCAAUCAUAACUGACCAACCGAUGUAAAAAUCAAUGGCUCUUUGAGCUGCUUUGAUAUCUUCUGUAGCCUUAGUAUAUGGAAAGAACCACGGAGCAUAGAUGUUUAGUCCUACAAAGCCAUGUUGACUCCCCUGCACAAGGACAUAUCUUUUUCGUUAUUUGAGUCGAUGCUCGUGGCAUUGUCAUGUUGAGUAUGAGAAAUUAACACCACUAAUUUAGAAUCAUUCUUCCAUCAAUGACUACAAAUCAAUCAGCGUGUCACCGAUGUAUAUGUAGAGAUGGAAUAUAAUUCAUCUGUAAAUUCUCCUAAAACCAGUAUGAUGAGAAUUAAGUUCCUAUCACUAUAGUAAAACUAUCAACACAGAGAAAACCAAGUCAUGUGAAAAAAUUAUAAAUAUGUAAUCAUACUGAUACCUUAUAUUUUCUGUUGUACAGUUUCACAGCAGAUGAAUGUGCCAACAACAUGUUAUGAGCAGCAAUGUACGGCUCAGUUGAGGAGUUACCCUUGGUACAAGCCAAUCCAAAUGGCAGAGAGCAGCGCCCAGGGGGAAUGAGUGCGUUAUCAUAACCACCAAUUGCAAAUGCAUUGGCCUCAUUUACUGUAGUCCAAUGCCGAACCCUGUCACCAAAUUCCUUGAAGCACACAUCGGCAUACACUGUAAAGUCUCUUCUGCAAUCAUAAAACGAGUAAUUGCUUAGGUUUAAUCACUUGAAAUCUGAGAUCAUUAACAAUCCAAACACUAUAAAAAAGUCUCCAUCACUUGCUUACAACAACAACAAAUAUCACUUGCUUACACCAUAGUCCGACUAAGCCAUCCCCCAUAUCCAUCUUCAAGAGCUUGCGGAGUAUCCAUGUGGUACAUAGUGACAUGCGGCUGAAUUCCUGCAUUUAUGUUUUAGAAGCAGAGAUAUUUAACAUAAACACAUUACAAUGACAUGAAAGUACGAUAGACUGCAAUAACAUUUUGGAAGUGUAUGAGUUGCCUCAAUAUCAUGUCUUCAAGCAAGAUUUCCCACAAAGGCAGAUUGCCUACCAAGUAAUCAAUUAAAAAAAGAAUACCUUACCAUGCAUGAUGAGUUCAUCUAUGAGAUUGUUGUAAUAUUCUAAUCCCUUGGGGUUGACAGGGCCUCUUCCAUCUAAAAGAGACAAAUACUGAAUAUGAGAAGCAAGAAAUAGAAUGCAAGAGUGUUAGUAGCCUAAUGAAAGUGAACGCACUAGGAAUAAGUCUUGACCACGAAAUAGAGAAUCUGUAGGCCUCCAAACUUGUGUCAACCAUGCACUGGACAUCUUCCUGAAACAGAUAGAUUUCCUAAAGUAAACAAUGUCCUAACCUUAACAAGAUAAUGCUUGAAUUUAUUAGUUGCUAUCCAAAAAUCUUAUUCUAGUUAGAAAAAAGAUAAAAUAGCAGGCUGUAGAAAAUCUGGUAUCACUAUCUACCUAUGUUUUAUCUCCCAAAGAGGGAAUACAGUUUUAGAUCUCCAAUUGAUGAGGAUAUGAGCAUGCGUAUGAAAAUGAGUAACUCAAGCGGGUUUGAGCGAGUUAUAAUUGGGUCAAUUCAUUUACACCCAUUUAAUAAAUGAGUCAAAAUAAGUCAACCCUUUUGGUCCCGUUUAAUAAAUGGAUAUGGGUAUACCUAAUUAUCUCUUUAUAAACCACUUGAAAUUUAUUUUUUAUUUUUUUCCAUGUUAUUUGACAAGAAAUAAUGAUAUUUUAUUGUGAUUAGAUUAGUAAGAAAUUAAAAUUUAUCCCCUUCAUAAUUUGAAUGUGUAAUUAUUUUUAAAUGGGUAUAAAUUGGUGAGUUGAAUCAACUCACUACCGACCAAUUAAAUGGGUCCAAUUGAGUCAUCCAUUUAAGCCCGUCCAAAGUGUAUUGCAUACCCAAGUCCACUUAUUAAUCGGUGGGUUUGGGCGAGUCAAUACAAACGGGUUGCUUGUGAUUGACACCUUUGGAUUUGAGACAACAUUCUUUCAUCUGCCUAAGAUACUAUUGAAGAUGGAAUACAAGUUCAGCCCACCAGUAAUAUCAUAAAGGUGAGUACAUUUAUAGAGUCCUAUAUUCUUUCUAUUUUUAUCACUCAGUGGAGAGGCUUAGUUAGUGUAUCUAGAAGCCCUUGGAAGAUGACCCUCAUAGUUUCCACCAGCUAUGUAUUAUCUAGUUUGAGGCAAAGAUAAAUUCAUCUGCCAAAGGGUUUGUCACUAGAGUUUCAAUGAAGUGUAGUUGAAUUAAUGUUUUCCUAAUGAUGGUGUCUGAUUUAUGCAACUUCACCGCAAGUCAGUUGGUCAAGCAACCAACAUUACAAUUGAGUUCAGCUUGCUUGCAUCAGGACGACAACAUUACAAGUUAAAGUACCUUAUGACUGAUGAGCAACCAACCACCCCCAAAGUAGUUGGCCACCACGUCUUGUGGGGUGGGAGGUCAAGGGUUUAAACCUUGUCUCUCAUCAAAGUUGGCACUUAAUGUGGCUUCUCUUAAAUCUAUAUGGGUGCUUAGUGCCAUCGUAUGGUCCGAUGGUGGUUCAGUUCCCAUCAAUUCUGAUAGGACCUAUAGGUUAGAGUACGACUAGGAGUAGGUGUAGAUAGUGAUAAUAGACAAAAACUAGGAAUCAAUUACAUUGCAAAGCUUCCUUAAUUUUUACUACUAGAAAGAUCAAUUACAUAGAAUUAUCAACUUAUUGAUGGAAAGAAUUAACUGACAGGUCUAAAUAUACGUAAUCCUUUCCUAAAUCACACAAUGAAGGAAGCAUGAGGUGUGUUUGUGGUCACAUGAGUGAUGAGACGGGAAGCAAACGUCUACCUUGUACUUGUGAUACUGAUCACAUGCUAUGUCUCCAGUAGCUCCACCAUAAAAAUCUGAAAUGGGAGCAGAUUUUGAGAACAUCCUUUGUAGAUUAAGAGAUAAAUGCAAAAGAAAAGGAAAACAAAACGAGAGAGAAUGAAUAAAACCACAAUCCUUCCGUCAAAAUCAUAAAAUGGAGUAAAGCUAUUCAAAAAAAGCUUAGUAAUAAUACACUAUUCCACUGUCAAUUUGAUCAUAUUUUGAGUCGUCUAGUGCAAUCUAUUUUGAGUGGUAGAUGUAAGGGCUUUGAAAGUGAUACAGCACGCCAAGACUCAAUUGAGAAGCAAUGGUGAUACAAGAGCAGGACCGGACCAUAAUAGAACAAAAUAAGAAAUUAAGACAAAAAGACGAACCAGAAUGGGCACGAACAAAGGUAUCCCAAAUACUGGGCAUCUUCCCAUCUUCGAAAGCGGCACCUUCUACCUAUCAAUUGAUAAUUAUGUUCAUCAAAUUUUCCUCGCGAUUUAUAUAUACAUAUAUAUAUAUAUAUAUAUAUAUAUGUAUGUAUGUAUGUGUGUAUGUAUGUAUGUGUGCGUGCGCGCGCGCGCGCGUGUGCUGGGCAAGGUAGUACUAGUACCCAACGUCUUUAAAGAAAAAGGAAAGCAGCAGUCGUCAGUGAAACGAAAAAGGCUCAGGAAGCAAGGAAGACGCAAAGAUCGAAACAGAACUAACUUGGUAUGCGGAAGUGGCCGCGCCGAAAGCAAAGUCGGCCGGGAAGUCUGCUCUUGUAUAAUUCUCCACGCUGCCCACCAAUACCAUUCUCGCCAUCAUUUGCGACAUCGUUAGCGCCAAAAACACCACAUCCACAUACAUCGCCAUACUCAAACUCCUCAGUUUCGACAUCGUCUACUAGUCGAGCAGAGUCUACUUUUUCAUGCACCAGAUCCUCCCUGUCCCAGCCGGCUGCAAUCUAAUACUGCCACUCACUACCAGUGCAGUACUAGUGUACUACUACUUUGUGCUCCUCUUUGCUCAGCUUAAACCGUAAACUUUGACCGUAUUUGAUCGAUUCCAACUUGAGGCCCCCACACCAACGGACAGAUGGAGGGAAGUAAGAGGAAUGCUUGCUUAUUUACGGGAAAGAGAUCGUCGACUCAAACAGCACAUUGAACCGUGAAGGAGGACUAUUUCACCCCUUUAAUCAUUCACAUUGUACCAGUUAACUUCUGAUACUCCAAUUAAAUAGCCGAUAGACAGAACAAAUGGUUGAACCAAUCACACAUCACACUGACAGGAUCUCAAAAGUCAAAACCGAAAGAGAAAUACCGUAGACUUUUUUUCGUUGUAAAAGUGUGUUGUGCCUAAUUUGAAUUUUAGUCAUUUUAUUUUACGAUAAGAAUGUAGCACAAAUUAAGUUGGAUAUUUUUUUUUUUUUUUUUGCCAGUAACGAUACAUUUGUAUAACUUAUUCUAUCCUAAUCUAGGGGAGGGGGAGCCUAAGGAGGCUAUGAUAGGGGUUAGUGGGUAUACAGAUCCAACUAGACCAAGGAAGUGCUAUGACACAACCCUUAGAUUUUUUUCGCUGCUGGUUAGGUUUGAACCCAAGGAGGGACUUAAGCUCCUCUCUGAUGGCCAGUGAGCCAUUGGCCCAGUGGUAAAUUAAGUUGGAUAUUCAGGGUCCAUUUGGCACGAUGUAAAAUGUUUUGAACGACAAUUUGUUAGCAGCAAACGUGGUAAAAGGGUCAAGUUGAAUAUGGUGAUCACUGGUGACAAGGGCAAAUGACUAGAAGAGUUCUCAACUUUGGUUCUUACUAUUUAUUUAUUUAUAAGUGAUCGGAAUUCGAAUCUUUUACUUGCAAUUCCUCUUCUUUUACUAUCCAAUCCAACUCUUCCCUAAUAGAUUUGGUUCUUAGAAAUUUAUUUUGUGCCGUUAUAAGCUUCAAAUUUUUACGUUGCAAUAAUUUAGUCCCUCACAUUUGACCGAUCAAUAAAGAGCAAAAAUGGAUAUGAACAUCAUAGUGUGGAUAAUUACAUAACAUUCACCAAACAAAUUGAUUUAAUCCCUUCUUUAUCCACCACCAAAACCAUACCAUCGUUAUACAAAAUGUUAAAGAGUUUUUCAUUUGUGAAUGACGAAAAAUCACAUUAAUAUGCGAGUGUGAAAGACAUAAAAUGUAUAAAAUCAAUAUGUGAGGAACGAUUAAUCAUCAUUUCACAUGUAAAAGAUAAUAAAAUAUAUAAAACCACUAUGCGAGGAUGAAAAAUCGUCCUUUCAUAUGUGAUAGAUGUAAACGGUACAAAACCAAUAUGUGAAGUACUAAUUUUAUAAUUUUUUCAAAUAAGAAUUAGAUCCAAAAAUUUUGUCAUAUGACACAUGUGAGAUAAAAAAGCUUAAUUGAAAAAUAAAAUUAAUGAAAAGCAUGUUUAUGAUGUAACUACAGAUUUUUUUGUUAAAAAGAAAAAACUAUCCAAACCAAAACUUUUUUUCCCAAAUAACCAAAACUUUUUUUCCAAAUAAAAAGUUUGAUGACUAAAUUGCUGAUGAAGCCCAUUUGCUAGGAGGGGCUUCCUAUAUUCUUUUGCCGUCUUGUCUAAAGUAAGAACACGAACAAAAAAUUCUCAUCAUUUUUAGGCCUAUCAGCCAUAACACAAAGCGCCCAGAACAGUUACUCGGGGCGACAAGGACAAAACUUUUAGGUCCAUCUCUUCAUAGCCUCCAGUAACAUUUAGGUAAAACAAACACACUUGACAUGGAUUUGGUUUUUUGGAGGAAGAUGAAUAGUUGAAUUUGCGCCAUUCUAUCCAGCAACAACAAAAUCGAACUAAAACUAGUUUGGAUAGUGUAUUAUUUGGAAUAUUAUUUGGAAUAAUUACUGUAGCACUUUUUGUGAUGUGAUGUAUGUGAGAUAAAAAGGUGGUUGGAAAUAUAAAAAGGUGGGUUGGAAAAUGUGUCUAUGAUGCAAGCGAAAUAUUAUUUGGGAUAAUUGAGGUAUCCAAACAAACCCACUGGGGAUUUUAUGGACUUGGGGAUUUUAUGGACACUAAACAAAUACAGGCAGAAACAUCAAAUAGAUUUCUUCUACAAAUCAGGACCGGGACUAUCUCAACGAACGCACGUAUCCCAAAAUAAUUGUCCUUCACUGUUUGACUCAUGUCUAACAUAAAAUUAGUUAAACUAGAAAAGUCCCCUUGAAUGGACAGGGCAGGUAUACUUUUUUUUAUUAUUUUUUUUAUCAGACAGCCACAGUUAAUCUACCCUAUUCCUAUUUUAGCGUACACUGCAUGGGGCUCAACAGAACUUAAAAAAAUCGAUGAGAACUGAAUUAACAUCGAGUCAGACGAGUGCACUAUGCGUGCACUCAUAUGAAUUUAUAAGAAACCACGUAUACUACUCAGCCGUAUAAGUUUAGAAGAAAUAAUGACACAUACAGGCAAGUAUGCUUGAUUGUCUAACUUACUGAUGUGCCCUUUUUUUUCCCAAAGGAUGGGAUCACCCUUAUCAGUGCGCACACACUCACGUUUAAUGCACUCCUAUAUUUAGACGUUUUCUUAAAUUAGUUUCACUUUUGCUACAAAUUAACACCUAAAACAUCUCUUACCAAAACACCUCCCUCCGACCCCCCCCCCCUCCCAAAAAAAAAACACAAAGAAAAAACCCAUCCCCAAACAAAUACAACUUUUUUUUGGGUGAUUACCCCCCCCCCCAACAGAAUAGAGCUCUCUUUCCUUCACAUUUUCAAGGGGGUUCACUUGUAAUUUGUAAAGUGGCUGAUUCUAAAGUAGGUCGAGCACAAUGUAAUUCACUCCAAGCAACAGCCUCUACCACCAAGAAAUUUAAAUCUCGAUAGGAUGGGAGAUCAGGGUUCAAUCCUUGCUUCCGACCUUGCCACUUAAUUGUGGCUUCCUCUAACAAGAUUUUCCCAUUGGCUUCCCCUCAUCUUAGAUUAUGCUAAAAUAGAUUAUACAAAUAUUAUUAUUGCGACAAAAAAAAAAGCAAUGUAAUUCACUCCAUCCAAAAAAUAAUAACAAAAAUCAGCGGGGAAAGCAAACACGAAACUGAACCCGUUGCUCCUAAUGAAGCAUGCAAACAAUCUCAAAUACCAAAAUAUGCACCUACAUUACCAUGUGAUUUCUCCUAUCAUAAUACCAUCAAGUUUACCUGUAUUACCAUGUGAUUCUCCUCUUCUAUUCAAAAGCAUAGCUAACCCCUCAGGAGUGACCACAUGAAGGUUCCAAUAUGCAAUCCAAUCAAUACUCUCAGCACUAUCGAGGGGACUAUCAGGUCAAGAAAGGACUAGAAAUUUGUGCAUCAAAGGAGAAACAAAGGAACAAGGUGAUGAAUCGUUUUUCCUAACAUCACCACAGCUCAAGAGUUACCAACAACGUGGUAAGGAGGGAGAAAAUUCUCCUAGUAACAUCACACUUCUUAAGCUUGAGUAGAAGGAAAAUCUAUAGAUCGUUUAGACACUUAACAGAUUUCAGCCAACAAGGAAAUAAAAGAUCAUAUAAAGUAACAUCAACAACAAAAUAGAAGAUGUGGUAGCAAGAUGACACCAUGCUUUGGAAUCAAACUAUUCUAUAAUACAACAAACACUAGAACGCAACUUCUAGUGUCGAAGGCUGAAGACUCAGAAACUAGAGGUCCUGACAGCUUCUUGAAUCUAAUCCUUUCCCUACUUGAGUAAAAAAAAAAAAAGUAAUCAAAGCAAUAAAUUCAAGCCUUCCCAAGAGAAUAAUUCCAUUACCAAUCAAGGCGUACUGAAUUUCAAGUAUAAAGUGGCCAAUCAGUCCACGCCCCAGAAACAUGACCAUUCUCACACACAUAAGCUCGAACAACUGGCUCGCCGUCGUCGUGAUAGCCAAAAUACCUCCGCAAACAAAACGCAGAAUGCAGAUCCCACGUCUGUUUACAAGAGCAGAAAGCGCAAUGCAGCUCAAUCUUGCUCCUGUGGCCAUCAUUUAUCGUCCUCCAAACCCUUGACUGCUUGAAGUUCUUGAAAAUCCCUCGAAAAAGCAUAUAGUUACGCUUCUCUUCGAUGUGGACACAACCGGGCCAAUCACAAAUAUACAAGCAAUCCCCUUUGAAUCGACUUGCAAGCAAUUUAUUCCCCUGCUCGCGGCUCAAGUUCCAGACCCCCUGAGCCAAAUGAGACAUAAGAGAUCUACAGAUUUUCCUCCUCUUACGACCACGAAAGUCACACGAAGGUUUCACCACCCCUCUCUCGGGCUCCACAGGCAGUUCGGGCCGUUCUUCGGAGGAUUCAGAAGCAUCAUAAACAGUAUCAAACAGAAGAUCAUCAAACAAAGACCAAGAACAAUCCGGCCCAGAAGCAGUUACAUCGGAAUUAACAUCCCUGUUGCUCGAGCAGGGAGCAGCUGAUCGGAAGAUCGCAGAGACCUGGUAAUUCUCGUCUGGCCCAAGCUCACGUUCGAGCCCGAAAUCAGAAUUUUCCAAGAGGACGCCAGCUUGGAGGAGACCCGGGCAGCAGACUGCUAGCUUGUAAAGAGAAGCCCAGCCGCCAGGAGGGACGGCGGAGGGGGAAGCAGAGGUGGACAGAAGAUCGUUGACAACGGAGGGGAUGGUCUGAGAGCACUUAGAUUUACAGCACACGUUUCGGAUCAGAGACGAGAAUUUAGUGGAGACGCAGGCGAGGCGGGCCCAGUUCCGAGGAUCGUCUUCAAGUUUGAAGAAUAUGUUGAGAACAACGUCAUCUGAGAGCCUCGAGAAGCCGCUUUCAGACAUGGUGUACGGUUCACCAACAAAUGGAUAACAGUAGCUCAGCCGGGGUUCUCCGAUUCCGAUUCUGGGAGAAAAGAAAAUCAGGCAGGAGUUGGAUAUGGAAUUGGGAAGAGGCGAAAGGGUGUCUUCUAGUGUUUAUGAAGAGGUUCCAAUGCGAUGGACUGCUGAGCCAACAGACGAGAUUACGUAUCCCAUGUGUGGACACCAGAAGAGAGAGAGAGAUAGGACGGAUUGUUGGUCUUUUUACCCUCUUUUAUCUUUAUAUUGGAUGGGGGUGGCGGAGAGAGAUGGGCAGAAGCCGAGGGAAAGAGAGGUGGUGGUGGUGGUGGCGGUGGUGGUGGGCGAAUUUAAUGAGUGAGUGGUUGAAACGUGAAAGGAGACGGGAGGCAGUCUCUGGAUUCAAAGACCCUUCACUGACUUCAGUGGAUAAAGCCAAGAAGGAAGCAGGCGCCGGCGGUGCACAAAUUGUGCUGAGUCCCCAGCAUACAUUACCUCGUAUCCUAUCCUAAUAAAUACUAACUAGUGUAAAUACCUGUGCUAUGCACGUUGCUGACAUUAUUGAAAAAAUGAAAAUAAAAUGGUGAAUUAAAAAAGGUUAAAAAAUUAUACCAACAUAAUUAAAAUAUAAUAUCUGUCUAACAAUAGUUUGAAAUAUGAUAGAACGUGUAUAUUAUUCAAAAAUUACCUUUUUUCGGAAGAUAGAUCCUGAAAAAAUAAUAGAAAUUUAUAUUAGAAAAUGAAUGAUAUAUGAAUAAAAAUGCAUGUAAUUAAAUAUUGUUAAAAUGAAAUACUUACAAAUAUUAUGCAUUCGAUUUGAUAAUCUUGCAUGAAGGUGUGAACACUCUUUACACUAAUCAACUUUUAAUACGAAAGCCAAAAUUGGUGAUUUAAUUAAUUCUGUUGAAUUUUGUGGAAUGCGUACUACAAAUGAAAAUGCACGAUCUUUGCAUGAAUUGAUUCGUUGGUUGAACAACCUAUCACCAUUGUCCUGAGAAUUAAGUACGUGCGAAAUUUAAAAUUAGUGUAUUUUUUUCCAUAGUUUAUAAAUAGCGUUAUAAAAAAUAAACAUAUAUUAAGAAAUUUUAUCUUCCUUUGUAAUUCUCUAAGAUAAGAAGCAUCACAACCAAAUACGAAUCGUGCAUGUCUGUCCUGUAGAUUAAGAUGCAUGUUACUAUUGGAAUCUUUGAUUUGUAUGUUAACAUUGUACCUGUUUGACAAAUAAAAUGUUAUAUACAAUACAGAAAAAUUUGUUGAAAUUAAAGGUACAUAAAAUUAAUUAUCUAACAACAGUGUCUACCACGUCAUUACAAUGCAUACACACUGUUUUUGAAAAAUGACAUUCACGUAGUUAUCCACAAUUUUUGCAUAAUUCAUAGAACAUAUUUUCUAUGUUAAUACUUUGAAUGUAAGCAAGUAUUCGAAAAUAUUUAACAUAGUAAGAAUGAAAAAAGGUAUAGGUUAUGAUUAUAAAUUUAAAAAAUUUGUGCAAUAAUUAAAUUAAAUAGAGUAAGUUUACUGUAUGCAUGAUUGUAUAUUUGGAUAUCCAUACUCUCUUUGAAUUUGCUAUCAACAAUGCUUGUGAUGUUAUAAAAUUACUUGACUUCAACCACAUAACUAACUUUCGAGCACAUGUAUUAUUUUCAAACCUACAAUUUUUUGAAAUACAUAUUGAUAAGAGUAUGAAACAACAUUAAAAGUUUAAUGUAGUGUUACUGAUGGAACUCACCAACUGCACAGGUAUCGAGCAAAAUCUAAAUUGUGAUUGAUAUACAAUUUGUUAGCUCCAAUUGUACAAAGUGAUGGUUCUGUAUAGUAUGGUUAUAGUCACUAAAAAACUAUUCAAAUUAUAAAGAGUAUAAGUAAAAGCAUUUGAUUUACCUCUGAAAUUUCGUACGCAAAUACCACAUGCUAGUAAAAUAUUAUUUUUUGUAGCAGAUUGAUAUUAUAGGAUUUGUAGUAUAUUCAAUAACUUGAUACUCAAAUCACCGAUGAAGCAAAAUUUGCCUAAAUAAGCUUUACAAUGUCCUAACUCCUUGGAAAAAAAAAGUGCUAAAUAGUCCUAAUUGACAUCGCAAGUUACCACAACGUGCCAGUGGCAUCUAGGCCUAAUUUUUUUUUUUUUUGUCAAAAUCUAGUCCUAAUUGGUUUUACUGUUUCUUGAUCAUGUUGUAUGCUUCCGAAUUAAAAUUGUAUUAAAAUAGCAUGUGAAUGAGCAUUUAUCUUUAAUUAAGGAGUAAAAAGGAUUUAAAGUAUAAAUAACAAACUAUACACGGUUUAUAAAGUAGACUAUGGGAAAGUUUUAAAUUUUAAAUUUAACUGGUGAUAGGGUUGGUUAUAACCCACUACUUUUUAUGUAUUAAAAUAAAUACAAAAAUAUAGACAAAAAUCUAUAACCCACUACUUGUUCCUUUCUUGGGAUUUUUUUAGGGUUAAAUAUAGUAAACUCCUUAACUUUACAUUUAACUGUACUUUACCCCCUCAACUUUAUAUUUAGUUGCACAUUUGUGAUUUUUUUGAAACGUAAUUGUAAUUUGCAAAGCUCAUUUGUAGGGUUGGUUAUAGGGUUAGUGUGGUGACAAAUAUUUCUUAAUUAUAAAAAUAUAACAUUGUAUUAAAAUAGCAUACGAAUGAGCAUUUGUCUUUAAUUAAGGAGUAAAAAUGAUUUAAAGUAUAAAUAACAAACUAUAAACGAUUUAUGAAGUAGAUAGUGGGGAUGUUUUAAAUUUUAAAUUUGAUUAGUAAUAGGAUUGGUUAUAACCCACUACUUUUUAUGUAUUAAAAUAAAUACAAAAAUUUAAAAAAAAGAAUGAGAAGUUUGGAAGUCAUUGAGAGGGUGUUUGCUAAAAACCCAUUCUGCAAUACAUAUAGAUAUAGAUUGCGAUCUCAACUGUCAAGUGCGAACUCUGCUGUUUCUUUCCUUCGCCACAUACAUACGUAUAAGGCCAUAGUGGAACACAAACAAUGGGCUGGGCUUUUUAUUAUUAUAACUACACUAUUUUAGCAAGUGGCAAAUUGAAGCAGUUGCUGUCCAAAUUGCUUCUUUUUUCUUUUUUUUUUGGCUUUGAAUGAUAACCACGUUUAAAAAUAUUUACUGCCAAAUAACGGCCGUUCUAGCCGGUAAUGCCGACAAAUUUGGUUAGUUCAACUCCUGGAGAAUGCGUCAACAUUCUUCCUCCAUAUCUCUAACAGAAAAACUUGCUAAUAUAAUUAAAGUAUAUCAUUCUCUGAACACAUCUUUUAAAUAACUUUACAUACGUUGCAACAUAAAAAGUAAUGCAGUAAAUAACAAUUCUAUAACUCAUCCUUUUCUUUGAUUCAUUAAUGAUACAGUGUGUAGACUGCACAUCUGGUAGCUCGAGAAGAUAACCAAUCAUUUCAUGCCACUUGCAAAAAGACAACCCUGCCUGAAGCGGGCGGCUUUCCUUAUCUGGAUGGUGCGGCCCAAUCUGCGUUAACGCAGGACGUUUCCUCUCCAUUGAAGAAGGGAAUUGUCGAUGCUCAAACUAACAUCCGCCACACAUUUUGAGGAGGACGCCAAUUCCUAGGUUGCUUUGGGCAUUCCUUGUCGCUGUGGCACAUGCACAUUCUGCGCUGUUGACAAGAAGACCUUUCACUGUGCAGAUGAUAUUCUGAUCAAAUAAAAAGUUCAAACAAAAUUUGCCCAUCCUAUAGGCAAAUCAACGUGACUACUGAUUACCUUGAAUACUUCCCAGCAGGCACCCAGUGACAGGAAAAAAAAAAAAUACUAUACCAACACUAACAUAUUUUGACAUCCUACAUCUAGCCUAUUAAAAGGAACGACCCAUUGCUUUGCUGCAAAUCAACAAAUGACCUGCACGUACGAGGAGUACCAGUAACGGUGGCUGGCUGCGUGCAUAGGCUAUGGAGGGAGUCAAAUUGACUAACCAAACUAGAAGAUUGGUUAUUCUAGGUUGGUGCUACUGCUAAAGAAUAAUAAUCUCGUGUAAUCAGAAUUAUCUGGCCCAAUAUAGACAGCAAUUAAAGGAACCACUCGGAGAAUCUGUAGCGCCACAAGGAAAUGUUAUAGUUAAUCGAGGACCAAGCCAUCUGCAGGCCCUCCACGAAAUAUUAAUUCAUGAUUACAUCUGGACAAAAUGCCAAAUUCAACAUUCCACCAUUCUCGCGAUCAAAUGUCCCGCAACAUGCCCAUACAAGAAAACACAAAAUAAAAUGGUUCCUCAUACAUCAAUAACUCUGUUAACCACGAUUGACAACCAACUGCAGAUCCUAAUACGCAUCUAAUCC